GGGUCGGUCAGGUUCAUGUAUAUCCCGGACCCAACUCAAAAAAUUGGAGUCCGAGUUGGGUCCGAGUCGAGUCUGGAUUAUAGUCUUAGAAAAUUCGGCCCAAGUCAAAUGAAACUGAGCCUGAUUUUCAAAGUGGAUGUCACCCUGCAAUGCAUGGCCUGUGAUCUAGUCGGUCGCUUGGUUUCCUUUGCGAUAGAUGUGGAUCGUCUGAACAACAAAUAAAGCAUGCUACUAAUGGAUGAUAUCCAGCAUCAAUAGGUGAGUAGCAUACCUGCAAGUGAACGGAGAAUUAAUCCAUAAGUAAUAACUGUGGCUAAAUCCCCUUCAAGCCAAACUAGUUGUGCUUGAAAUUGAAGUAUGGUUGUGCUAAAACCUGCCCAAGUAGCUACUAGCUCUGCAUAUGAGACUGUAGCAGUUGCGAGCCUUUUCCCACGAGCAUAUAGCAACCUUCCCUUUUGAUCUCGUAUUACAAAAUCUUGUUGCUGCAUAGUCACCGCAUGCCUUCAAAACACCAAGGUGAGGGAGCGGCCAUCAAACACAAGUAUUUGAAAAACACAAGUGUAAAGUAGUACCACCCCAGAACCUUGAUCAUGUAAUGUGGGUAGAAUGAAAGUCAGCCAACCUGAGUUCAACAAGAAAAUAAAAAUCUGUCUUACUAGCUAGUGAGAGGUUGACAGGCUUGCUUGAAACAGCCUCUCAUUUCUUGCUUUUCAUAAUAACCACAUGGUAUAAGCCUCGAUGGACUUAAUCCACCUCUCUAUCAGGCAUCACAAGUUUGAGCAAUACCGAUAAAAUAGUGGGGGAAAGGCCCAUAAUGAAAACAGAAAAACAAGAGCUGCUAGCACUGAUUUACAAACGAACAGUAGAUAAUUACAUGAGCAUCAUCCUCAUUAUGGUCGGGUUGAUUUCACAACUCACUGAUAGAGUGAAUGAGUGAUAGUGAAUCGGUGAUAAAAGUCUCAGAUCUGGCCGGAGCUCUAGGCCGGGCCUUAAGCCCCAGCUCUGGGUCGGGCCGGAUCAUUGACUUGUCUAGUAAGAGUGUAAAACUGAGACAGUAACUUCAGUUGUUUAGUUUGCAACCCUGCAGCUCGCGGGCCCAAAUAAUUUUACAGAUUCGGGUCGGAUCAGGUCUGAAUUCAGUAAAUCCAGAUCCGACCCAAUAAUGGAACGAGUUCAAUUUUACAACCCGAUCCGUCCCCACAAGUCCUCCAAAAUGGGUUGGGUCAAGUCUAAGCGGGUUGUGUCACGAGUCCCUAACCCAUUUGCAGCCUUAGCCAAAUAUGCUAACUCAAGAGACAUGCCAUGCUAGUCAUAAAUGGUUAAAUGCAAGAAUAAUCAGAAUUUAGGUAGAUUGGUAGUUUUUGAGACAAGAUGAAAGGAAGCAUUAGUCUCUAAUGUGACAUAAGUGUGUAGACAAGAGAGAUAAAGGGUGAGUGUGUGUUUGAGAGAGAGUUGGUGAAGGUCUUGGUUGGCAGUUCAAUGGCAAUGGCAUCUUUGAUAGUGAUCCUGAUUGUCCUCUUCCUCAACCUUCUGCUUUGGCAACAAUGAUUAUUGCUGCUAUAGUCGUAAUUGCAACCUUUAUUGUUGAAAGAGAUGACAUGAGGAUAAGGAAGGGAUAGAUCCUUUUUCUCUUAGUUUUAUAAAUUAUUUCUUAAUGUUGUAGUUUUCCAUAAAUAUUUUUUUUUGCCUCGAUGAUCAGUAGGGAAAGGCACCUUACUGGCACCUAGGCCUUAAUUGUUCCCCUGUUGAUGCAUUGAUUACCUAAUGCCUUUUAAAACAUUAAAAUAUAUGAAACAUGCCUUUCAUGAACUCUAAAAGUUGAUCCAAAACUGUAAUCUAGUGAAAUUGUUCGUACAAAACUUAUCUCUUAAAUGUUGAUCUGAUUGAGACAGCAAUCCCAACUUCUCUCUUAUGGCUGGUUUAAUAAGAUUUAAAAAAAGAAGCAACCAAAAAAGUAAGAAGAAGAAGAAAAGAAAAUAUUGAUAUAUGUUUCCCUGCAAUCUUUUGCAUCCUUUUGAUAAAUAUCUCCUUGUGUGAUCUUCUGUUUUUCUGAGAAAUAGUUAGGUGAGCCCUAACCCAGUUUCAUUAAGUAAAUGAAAGGAACCUUCGUGUGUGAUUUUCACUGCUAGCAGUUCUCACAAUCUUGGAAGAAUUCAUUUUCAACAAGCUGGAGUUUUGUCCAACAUAAUUACUUUGUGUCUUCAUCUCCUUGAUGCCUCAAUGCCCACGUUCAGUCUUUACAUCAUCGUCUUUGGCACAUCUUGGCAUUAUGUUCUUAUUCUACAGGAAAGCCCUAGUAUUUAGCAGUGAAAUGUUCCAACUUUGAAACUAAAUUAGAGUAACAACCACUAUAAAUUACCACACCAAGCAGUCUCUUGGCAAUCUUUUCCACACAAAUGACAAAUCCACUAUAACUGGCAUAUAUCAAAAGUUUUUCUUUUCAAAAUUGAGCUGAAAGAUCGAAUUGAAUCUUUACGGAUCAGGCCUGCAGGAAGGAACCAUCGUAAUAAAUUCAGGUUCAUCAAACCAAAAAAAUUAACAUCAAAAUUAGGCGAUAUAAAAUAUUAGAAUGUCUUGCUGGUUGAUAACCAUAAUCACUCACUGGUUGCAAAAUGAUAUUUAUUUAUUUAUUCUGAGUGGAAGAGGGAGAAAAGACCCCCCCCCUCCCUCUCUCUCUCCUCUCUCCUCUCUCCUCUGAUUUAUCACCAAAAUACAGUCACAUAAGCUCACAGAUACAUAAACAGUACCUCCUUGUAUACAACAACCAACAAGCCGGCACAAACAACUAUCAAAGGCUGUCCAGCAGAUACUUAUGUCCUACCCUACCCCUGACUGUGCCAAACUUCCUUUUAUCUUCAUGAUUACAUAAUCCCUAUCUUUGAAUAAACAGAGCCGAUCAGAAGAUCACCUGAAAGGAGGAUUUUCUGUCUGCAAAAGCUGUUCAAUUCCUUUCUUUCUAAAGAGUUCAACACUCAGGUAUAGCCAACUUAUCCCAAGCUCCCCCAAAGAAUCCUGUUACCUUCGUCCUUCUCCAAAGAUGCCAAAAUGAGGAUGCUGUUGCAGGUCUGCUCUUUAAUCCUAGACAAAUUCUGCCUGCCAAGUGCGAAAUGCAGUUUUUUAAAUUUUAGAACGGUGAUAAAAAAUGAAUUGAUCUUUGUUAAGGAUUUAUAAUUAAUUUCUCAUUCUAAUCUACAAGCUUUUCAACUGAUUUCCUGUUUCCUUUUAAGUUUUGCAGGAAUAAGGGUGCAAGAGAAAAGAGUCUAGGAUUCAGUGUAGUCUGAUGCCUCCAGAUUUUGUUAUACUAAAGAGGAAAUUAAAUCUUACAGAAGAAAGAGGAAAACUUAAGGGAAUCUUAUACAUUGAUAAUUACUUAGAUGUAAUUUAGUCAAGCUAGUAUAUUGGAGAAUAUGAGACUAAAUAUUGACGAUAUGGUGACCAUAUGCUUCACUCAACUCAGCAUGACCAAAAGCCAUGUCUACUUACUGGAAGAAUGAGGGAGCUGUGACUCAAGUUGUUGGAUCUAUAUUUUGUGAAAUUGCAGACAAUUGUCAUACUAGUAAAUAUGUUAGAUCAUAGUAACUUACGCAUGAAGUUUGCAAAUAAAAAAGAAGCAUAUGUGGUUAUACAAAAUAUGCCACAAUAAAAUAUAGAGUAUCAUGAGCGCUAAAUGUGUUUUAAUGUAGACUGGUUCUCUGAAGAGUCGAAUCUACUGUCUUUGCCUACAAUUUAGUUCUCUUGCCACCUGGUGUUCUCCAUGUUAAUCUUUCAUCUAAUGUGAUCUGUUCAUUUUUAUUUUAUACCUGAGUGACCCAGGGCAUACAUGGCGCAUCAUCUGUGGCAUAGAAAGGUUUCACAGCUUUUUCUGAAGCAAUGCCUAUUUUAAUCUGCAGAGCACUAGCUUUUGCUUUUGGGUGCUCGAAAAGUAUAGGCCUACAGCAUGAUCUUACACUCUUUUUUUGUAGAAAAUAAUAUGAACAUUAUUUUCUGCAUUGUUAGAUAGCCUUUCAAUCCACAAGAAAAUCCACUAAACUCUAAAACCUCAUCUUAUAGUUCCACCAGCUGCUUUCCAUUGUGUGUGUCAGUAUUGGAAAUUUUGGGUGUUCUAAGUUUGCUGAUUCUUCUUGCCUUGUAUAUGUUCAAAUACAUUGUAGAAAGUAUGUUCUGAGCAUCAAUCCAUUUAGGACCUCUCUCUCUCUCUCUCCAUCUCUCUGCCAAUAUCCCUGGUGUCAUAUUUUUUUGAUGGACGGUGUCAAUGUCACAUGUCAUUUAUCAACUGAGUGAACAUUACGCGACAGUGGAACUCAUGUCAAAUAAUGAUUAUACAUUGGACCGCAUAUUAUCCAGUACCCGUGUAUGCUAUAAUUUGUAUCAUAUGACUAUGACAGAAAAGAAUUAUCACAUGCAGCAGCCUAUUAUUACUGCAGAUGUGAAGCUAUAUGCUAGGCUGGAGUAGAAUUAUUAGUCAACUUUGGGGUCUCCUAACUCAUUUUCCUUCAGCUUAGUGGAAUAUAUGCUUCAUAUUUUUUUUGUUCAUUACUUCUGCAAUUGAUUCUGGAUGAUGUACCACAUUUUUCUUGAGAUAUUCUUGAUGAUGUAUCAUUGCUAGCCAUUGAUAAACAAAAUGCUUAAACAUUUCGUUUUUGUCAGGUGAUCAGUUCUCGUAAGAGCAAAGUUAAGCAGUCGAGGACAAAAGUUAUUUCGGAGUAUGGAGGGGGAGAGGGUCAAACACUCCUAUGUGAGAACUGCGACAUACAAUCCCUGUAGUUGACAACUGCUGUAAAAAUAUAGAGGCUGCAACUUGGAUGCAUGCUUGGAUAAUGCGGACAUGCCCUUUGGGUCUUUUCGUUGAUAAGCCUUCCAUUGGCAUGGUUUUAUUGUUUGGUUGUGUUGUUGUACUCCUGCGAGCUUGUUCAAAAUAUAAGGAAAAGGCUUCUGAAAUGUAUGUCAGUCAUCAUUGCUCAUAAUGUAAUAGGUUUCUGAUAUUAUCCUGUUCAACGUUAGUCAAGAUGUCACAAGACAAAUCACUUCCGUUGCUUAUCUCACCUCAAGAAUCUUAUAUGCAGCUCCUUACCCAAUUGCCAAGAAGUUUGCUGCUUCAUUUGCUCUGCGACGACAAGGAACCUGAGCCCACGCAAAGCUUGUCCAUAACCACUAAGGAUACAAACAUAUUGAAUCCUAUGACGGUUUACUGAAGAUGGCAACGAACUUCCGCAGGAAAAUUUGCAUCCAUAUAGCAAAUGAAGGAACAAAUGUUGACCAGGGCAGUCGCUCAAAUAGGCAUGGCAGCUGGAUCCCGAAUUAAAAAGCAGCAGCAGAAGCUCAAAUCAGUGGACCCAAACAGAAGCCAAAGCUGACAGAAUUGAUCUGCAGUAAUAUUGCGAGUCCUGUGCGCUACCAUGCUCACAAGUUCAGGAACUCAAAUCCCAUCAAGUUAUACAUUUGUAUGCCUUCUUUCUCUCAGAUGUCUGCCUUUUGAGAGAGCUUUGAACUGCUUUUCAUCUAAGAUUACAAAUUCCUCAUUGAGACAUAACAUUAAAAAAGUCAAAAUGGGGCUCUGCAGAAAAGACGAAGAAAAAUCCAGCCAGGUAUACAUCCAAGAAAAUUGAAUUUUUAUGCUGUAUCGAGUCUAAUACUGACGCUAUCUGCUGCACUCAUCCUGUAUAUAUAGUGGAUACAUUUGGGUUACCAAGCACCCAUAGGAAAACAUAAAUCAAAUUGGGUUGAAAACCCAUUCUGUUGUUGGAGAAUAAUCUUGGACACAAGAAAAUAGCAAAAGCAAAGUCGGAGAAACUGAUACCGGGCACUGAUACUAGUUGCUCGAUGGGACAAAUCGAUACAGAUCCGUGCUGUAUCAUGCCGGGCCCGUACCGAUACAAUAAAAGAGACGGGGGAGAGCGAGAACGAGAAAGGAAGAGAGAGAGAGGAGGCCGAGAGAGGCCAGCAGAGAGCUAGAGAGUCGCCGAGAGGCUGUGGAAGAAGGACUGUUCGAAACGAAGGAUCGGAGCAAGCCCCUCUUUCACAGCUCCCUCCUCCGCGCGGCGGCUCCCCAACCUCCGAAGGCCGGCCUCGACUUUCCUGUCUCUUCCUCUCUCUCUCUCUCUCUCUCCCUCCCUCCCCCACUCUCUCUNNNNNNNNNNNNNNNNNNNNNNNNNNNNNNNNNNNNNNNNNNNNNNNNNNNNNNNNNNNNNNNNNNNNNNNNNNNNNNNNNNNNNNNNNNNNNNNNNNNNNNNNNNNNNNNNNNNNNNNNNNNNNNNNNNNNNNNNNNNNNNNNNNNNNNNNNAUAUGCCUCAUAGAUCAGCAGCUCCAAGUAAUGAUAGACGAUAACAUGCAACGACAAUAUCAUCAUCCACCAUACUUGGUCAGAGCAAUAAAAUAGCACAGAGGUUUAUACCUGCAUCAAGAUUUAUCUAGAUAUAUGACUGGGAGCAAAAUAAAUUUUCAAAGGUGAGAUAUUACUAGCCUAAGCAAGGUUUGCCGUCUCGGUAUUGCAUUCCGUACCGGUGCCACACUAGCACAGUGUCAAUAUAGUGCGGUACGAAUUUUUUUUGGUGUACCGACACUCAAUACGCCACCUGUAUCGUAUACUAGUACCGAACCGGUAUGAUACAAUACGCUCUGUACUGUCUAGUUCAGAUCGAUACAGUAUGCCCUGUAUCGCUUGGUUCAUACUGGUAUGGCGUACCAUAAGUCUAAGUAUUUGUAAUCAAGGAUAGCGUAAGAAACUAAAGGGCUUCAAAUCAGAGCCUUCAAAACCUAAGUUGGGAGCUAGAAGUAGGCCCCUAAUGCUGGAAAGUCAGAUUUUUGUUUCAAUCAUGCAAGGAAAAAAAUCUAAAAGUUGUAUAUGGAUAAAAGGCAAAACCAUUUAUAAAAAAGAAACAAGUUCAAGUUUCACAUUACAGGUCAGAAGACACCUCCAGGAAACUAAAUUCUAUUUUGCAUCAGAAAGCUUGGUGCAGAUCUUAUCAGCAUAGAAUCCAAACCACAUCUCAACGACCCAAAUUAACAAUAAAUAUAGAUACAACAAAUGCACACUUAUGAAAACUAUCACAACCAAACUAUUUUGACUGCAAUGUUUCAUAAAGAAAGCACAAAUAAAUUUAACUGAGAAUUCAAAAAAAAAGGGGAAGAUGGGAAAGGCAUUAACAUAGCGAGCAAGUGCUGAGGAUCAGAAAAUGCCAGACCUAGAUAUAAUGGUAUCCAGAAGAUUUCUGGUAGCUUUAUAUGAAGAUGUAUCAUUGAAAUCAUCUUAAUCGAUCUCCAGGACUACACAACCUCAAGAUGCUGUCUUAUGCGUCUGCAGGGAUUGAUACCUUUAUGGAUUAUAUAAUGGCUGUCACCAUCAAGCCUGUACCUACAGAUAGUCUCUUGGAACCCGCAUGCCGAAUCCAUGUUUCAUUUUCUCAACCCUGUACAAAAUAUAAGUGAUUGAAACACAUGCAUACACUCCAUGCAGUACAAAAUAUUGGCAGACAUACAUGUCAUCUAGAAUAGGAAAAUAUCACCAAUAGAUUUGAAGAUGCAAUAUUAAAGAGACACCUCCAUUAGGUCAUGAGUAGUGAAGAAGUAUUUUUGAUAUGUUAAUCUAUAUAUUAUUGUUAACACAUAAAGAUAUAAAAGAACAAAAGUUAAGUCUCAUUCCAUCCAGAUAAGGUCAGCAAUAGAGCAGAACUUGAACCCAACUUCGAAAAAGGAGGGGAGGGCUUGGUGGAAGGUGUGAACCGGUUGCUGCUACAAGGCUGCUAACAGUCUAUGGCUGUUACAAUACUCUCUUUCCCACCUCGGACAAAGGCGGCAAGAAUGGCCUUGUUGCGCAUGCACACAUAUCAAGGAGAGGUUAUAAGAGUCCUCUAGCUUAGAAAAAUAAACUUCUGAAAUAACAUUAAGAUUUAUAAGUUAAUAUUUAUGAUAAUGCAAGUAAUCACCCAUUAAUGGGGCGAAUUGUUAAAUCAUAGGAAUAACUUAAUAUGGGACUGCAUUCUGUUGACUUGCAUGUGCCUCUGAAAUGAAUUAGGCCUUGUAUAUCACAAGCUACCAUCCUCCCCCUUCAUUUAAACCUUUUGCAAAUCUCGGGGAAUUUUGGGGUUUGCUCUUUGCUGCAUGAACUUAAACUGCAAUAGUUAAGGUAGAUUUGACUUUAUAGCUUUCAUGGUUGGCCCCUACUUUGUCUAAAUAUUUUGACACCGAUAGAGCACUGACAUCUGGUUGACAGUCAUAAAUUUUGCUCAAUCCUCUAAUGAAGCCUCUUAAGGUUGCCCUCUAUUUCCGACCCCAUGCUUUGAUGGGAAAAGAAGGCUUGGAUAAUGAUGAUGAUGAGUUUGAUGAUGAUUACAACAUAUCAUGUAAUAUAUCUGGGCGACUAAUUUGCCUUCUUAAUUCAAGGCAUUCACUGCAUAGGUGAUGCACCAUGCUCACGCACGUAGUCAGACCACCUAAGCAAUCAUGUGGCUUCCAGAGAUGAACAGUCCAAAAUUUUUGGGUCAGAGACGAGUUUAAGAGCCUCAUUGUCAUUUUAUAGGAAUUCUGAGAGCAGCUUAACCCAUUUAAAUGUCAAAUAUAUCUUUAUCUUUGAGCAAAUGUCAUGCAUCUCAUGUAUUCAAGUUCAUCCAAAUUGCUCGAGCAAGACCACAAUAAUAUUACCUCAGAACAUCCUCCAUGAUAUUCUACCUAGUAACUAGCACUUAUAGAAUUAAGCUUUCUUUCUAUAGAGUUGAUCAUAUCAUUAGGAAAGCAGGUAAUAAGUUCAAACACGAAAAGAUUUAUCCCAAACAUGAAAGGAAAGGUGCAGAGACUCACGUUGGUGCAAGCUUGCCAAGACUAUCUAGCUCUUCACCAGAAGAUUCAUCCCAAACUUUCCCAGAAAUCUCAAUUAUAUAGCAUUGACCUGCAGUAGUUGGGAGACCUCGACCAGCAAGCAAUUCCAAAUCUUUCUGAUGAAGCUCUCUCCCAUUAACAAGUACACCGGUAUUGCCACCGGCACAAUUCUUGCGCAUAGGAUAAUUGAACUCUUCAAUAAAUGGCUGCAGAACAGAAUGUUUCAUCAAAAGGUCUUGUGGUGGAAUGCUUACAGAAUUAUUAGUAUGCACGCACGUAUGAAUUUCAGUUGCUCUUACAGGAAUUAUGCCAAGACAUGGAUGCCCCAUUACACCCCAGAAUCCAGCACGGUAGUCAUACCUGAAUAAGAAGGCAGGAAAAACAUGAGUACAGUAUUUUAAAGGAUGACAAUGAUUCAAAGCAGGUGCUUACAUCAAGGGACCAUAACAUAAAGAUUGAAUGUCAGCCAGCAACUUCUGAUUCAUUAUGCAUGCCAUAAAACAUUACUACAUCAACCUUGCAUGCAAUUACAUGACUAACAAGGCAGCAUGUUCAGCAAUCCACACCCUAAGCAGCUGUGGCAACAUUAAAACAUACUUGGAUAUGUUGAUUGGCCGGUCAAAGAAAACUUGCAGUUCAUAAAUCUCAUUGACCAAUGAUAUAGCACAUAAUCAAAAUUUCAUGUGAUAUUGAAAUGUUUUUUUCAAAAAUGUUCUCUGUUUUAAAAUUACCAAGCUGAAUAAAGCUUGAAAUGGGUAUUUGCUCCCUCAACUCUAAGUCUGACUGUCUUCGACAUGUCUGAUCACAAAUCCAGGUUAUUAGUGAUUUCGCCUUUGUUUUCCAUUUUCAUAUUAAAAAUUCAAAGCAAGGUUAUGGAGCCUAUUGAUAGCAAACUGAGGAUGCUAUUUUCCAGAAUCUCAUAUCUCAACAUUGUAGUUAUAACUUGUUUUCUUGACAACCUGCAUUUAAACAUAUUGAUUUUUGUCACCUCAAUAAUACACUAAAGCACCUAAAUAUUACAAAAUAUAAUUAAUAUAAUACAUUAUUUCCUAUAUUGUAGUCAUCUUACCAUUCACAACUUAUAAAGAGAUUAAUGAAGCACCUAAAUUUAGAUGCAUGGAUCAUAAAACAUUAGAAAAUGCAAGUCAUGGAUGUGGAUAGAUGUCUUACCAAUAGUAACCAGAAUAGAUUGGUCCAGCUUGCUUUUCAGCCUUCUUAACUAAUCGAUCUGGAAUAGGAUGACCGUUAAUUGAAACUUUAGCUCUGCCAUGCCCCAACGAUUGGUUGAAUCGAGAGAAAUCUCUAAAGCUCUUCUUUAUAAGGCCGGUAAGGAAUGAGUCACCACCCUUGACAGCUUUAGGUUGACCUUCAUCUUUGCUUAUCAUGUCCCAAGAAUCUUGAGACAAACCAGCAGUUGGAUAUUCAUCAGAUGACAAAUCCAUCUCAGUUGCCACUGGUACAUCUUUUACUGAGUUGUGCUUAAAAUUUGCAUUUUCUAGUAUGCUCCUCUCUUGAUCAGAGCGUUGACUCCUGCUUCCCUUUCCAGGCCCAUCAGCUACUUGAUCAGACAAUGAGUACCCAAAAUGCUCACGAAGUGGUAAACUUGGGAUACGUGAAGUUGCUUCAGCUUCCACGGGAAUCUCUGCAGAGCUUGGGGCAUCUUUAUGAGAAAUCACACUUUCCGGGCUCUCCACAUGCCCAGACAUGCUCGAGGAUGAGGACAGGCCUUGCAUUUUCUCUGAAUCACUAAAAUUCAAACCAUUCUCUUUUUCUACCAAGCCAUGAUCGAAAACAUCAAAACUGUAAGGCAGAAGUAUCUUCUCAUCUGGGGACUGGAUGCCAUUGCUUGGGCUAUCGGUAUUUUUUUCGGAAGAUACAUGCGAGGUUGGCGCAGAUGAAGAAGCAACAAGUCUACUUCCAUCAAGCUUGACCGAGACUACCUUAGAGCAUGACCCGCACUGCAGCUUAAACUGAUUCUUGUCCACCAGCAAAGAUUUUUUAGGUAGUUGCAGCAAUUCAAAGCAGUUAUAACAUAUAGAGAAGGGGGCGGCACCAGCAAUGGGUUGGCAAGAAUGGCCGACCUUCUUACUGAAAACGGUUCUCUGGUGGGUUUGUGGCUCGCGAGAAUGAAAAGGAGGAUUCGCAACUCUUGAAUUAUAGCUUCCUCCACCAAAAAUCGAGGGACCAUCCAUGGGGUACAAUCCUUGAUUGUUGACAUAAUAGGGAACCUCCUGAUGACUGAAAACGGUGGGUGGGCACUGCACAGGCAGCGAGAAUUGUCUCUGGUAGCAAUGCGGGCAUGAGCAUGCAGGUUGAUGGUAAAAACCAUCAUGAUGACAAGGGAUGGCAGGAUAAGGAUCGAACCGUCCGUAACCGUCAAACUGCCUGUGUGGGUAGUGACCAGGUUGGUGAAAGGGGGCUCUUCCAUGUAGUAGCAGCUGCCCGUAUCCAGGAACAUCAUUUUGUGCAGGCACAGUAGAAUGAAAGUUUGACGCGUCCAUUUUCUGUGUGCUCAAAAAUGAAGAACUCUGAGAAGUAUUCCUGUUCAAUGAUGCAGAACUUUCAUGAAACCAAGCACCCCGAUGGCCAUAAGAACUUGAAGUUGUCAUCUGCUUUACAGGAGAAGCAUUUUGUUUGUCUGCGACCUCACAAGUUCUUUGCACCUGAUCUCUCAAUUCAUCGAGCAUCUUCAGAAGCUCUGCUCGGUCUUGAUUGAGGCAGCUAGCUCCCUUCGGCAUGAGAUCAUGCUCACCGUCACCAUAUCUAUAUCUUGGAUUCUGAUGGUAGUCGGAUGGACCUUCAUCAGGAUAAGGAGCAGGCCGAAUGCCAUCAAUCGGAGCCCUGGGUUCUCUGUCCCUCUCUUCGCCCUUCUGGGCUUGUGUUUGCUGAGCUCUGUGAUGCCCAUUGUUGCAUUCAGCUAGUGGUUUGUUUUCUGCUUCGCCUUCUAUGUCUGAUUUAGUCAAUUCAUUCACAUUUGGGACGAAAUCGCAGACUGGUGCUUUAGAUUGGAGAUGAUAGCCAUCACCCCUGCCCUCUGUUCCGCUUCCUACGGAAUGAUCAUCCAGUCUCGAGGUGUUGAAUUCCUGCAAGACAGCACCAACUUCCCCUGCGGAGACAGAAUGACUGUGGGAAGCCGUCCCUUUGUCUUUAAUUAACAUCUCCUCGUUCCUGAACUCCGCUCUAUCGGCCGCUGCGCUUGCGUCGAAAACCAUCCCUUUCUUCUCACCAGCACUCUCCGAGACCUCAAGAUAGCUGACCUUUUCUCCAUCAGAUUUCUCCAACGAAGCUUCUGAUCCUGGAAUUUGCUUCUUUGCUGCACAAUUUUCAGUUAGAAAAAAGAAGAAAACUUACUUGACUCCGUCCAAACUGCUAAACUAAAGUUUACAAACAAAAAACCAGAUGAUGUACCACAGAAAAAGAAUAAAGCAGAUGGAAACCAAAACUUUUCCAUCAAAGAUCAAACGUUUCUAAUCAAAAUCAAAAUUUUCUCUCAAAUAUCAAACCUUUUACUCAAAAAAAUCAAUUUUUCUUUAGGACAACAUCGAUUCUCGGUUAAAAUCACUGAAAAAAAUUCCCAAAACGAGCAAAUGAGAGAAGCAGAGGCAAGGGAAAGCUCAUGAUAUACCUUGAAGAGUAGCAUCGCAACCACCGCAUCGGUAGACGGAGAAAUUGGGAAGUUCCGGGAGAAGCUUCCCGCACUUGGGGCACCGUACCACCCGGACCUUGGCUCCUCCUUCCGCCAUAUCUUUCAAGCAGAAAAAUGCCUACAGAAACUCCACGGCUCCAAAAAGAAGCACCUUUAAACCCUUCCAAACCCUCACAAGAGGAUAAGAAGCAGCAGCAGCAGCAGCAGAGGCCUCCCUUCACUUCCUCCAGCCACCCCCCACUACCAAGUUCCGUCCUUUCCCACGCCAAACGAGACGAGAAGGAAUCGCCUUCACGACAAGCAGCAGCGAACCCAAGAGCCCAUCAAUCGCUGCUGUUGCCGGGUACUCCGCCUGUUAUGUCAAGCAAAAAUAGCACCCAAAUUUCUCCACUUUUAUCACGGAAAACUCUCCCCUCCCCUUCUCCAUUCUCGCGAUUCCGCCGUGAAAGAGAGAUUGUACGAAAGGAUGGAAGGCUGAGAGAGAGAGAGAGAGAGCGCGGGGACUGAGACUGUGGAGAACGUCGGAGUAAUGAUGAGAGAGGCGCGAGGUUGUGUUCCGCUUCUUUUGCUUUUCGUUCAUUUACUCGGCGAGUUCUUUUAGCUACCAUCGCUGGACGGGUCAAUUGAUCGGGGAGGAUUAUUAUAAGUAGUAGUGGUAGUAGUAGUUUGGCGUUUGGUUUGUUCUUUUUUUUUUUUUUUGGGUUACAAGGUGGUUUGUUCUUCCGAAGCGUGGAAUGGAUAAAUCUUUGUCCUACGCUUAACUUGUGUCCCUCUCUCAUUUGAAAACUAAAUGCUGAGAAGGCCCAUGCAGUUGACAAUGCCCGUGUGCUCGAUAGAUCCGAGGUCUGAGAUGAGUUCGGAACCUCUGCGGUUUAAUUUUGCACUUCAAAAUUUUAUACUACUGCAGAUACAUACCACAUCACCUAUUUUACAGAUAGAAAAUUUUUAUUUAUCUUACAACUAUAUAAAUAUUUUUUUAGUACGAUAUGUAAUGUAGAUAGAGAUAAAAAAAGAGCCAUUCAUUUUCCAGAUAAGUGAGCCAGAUUUGUUUAACCUAAACCCUUCCUUUCUCUCCUCCUUCUGUUCUGAAGUUAAGUACAGCCGUAUUUCGGAUUGCACGAAUAUCCGGUGAGGGUGGAAAGAGGAUUUCAAACAGUUCAACUCUAGUCUCACUAUCGUAUGGUAGAAUGGAGCCCUUUUUUUUUUCCGAUUCGGUGAAGUGUUUGAAUUGGUUCAAGAAGCAAGCAUGCGCAACUGGUCUAAUCCAAUUGACAAUAAUACCUGAACUUUCCUUAGGAGAGAUUUUCUUUUCUUAUUCCUAGGUUUCCUCUCCCUUAAGGUCAAGUUGGUUAUAGGGCCCAUCUCUUAUUCUUGCUUGUUUCCUUCCUCUCUAAUGGUCCGACAAGUUGGUUAAAUAUGUUCAAUUAAUAGGGUUCUUUCUCUAGAGAAAAUCGUCUUAAAAAGCUCUUCUCUUUGACGAAGAAUAUUUUCUGAUAGCUAUUUCUAAUAGUAUCAUAUUCUAUGAUGCAAAAGUCAUAAUAUAAAUUUUAGUUGUAUCUAUUACGAUAAUAUUAAGACAGUUGAGUUGAGUGUACAAGACAUUUAAAUGUUGAAAUUUAGUAGAAUAAUAAAGAAUUGAGAUACCAACGGUAUAAUUAUAAUUUAUUGUUGACUAUUACAAUAAAAAAAUUAUUAAUCACAACAAUGCAAUUUUUCUGCCAGAUAAUUAUUAGUUGGAAAAUUCUCUUUCAGACUUAUACUAAAAAUCGAAUUUAAAUAUUAUUUUUAUUUUGAAGGGUAACGCAAAUACACACAUCACUACAAACCCUAUCAAACUUAUAUAAAUGGCCAUCCAUAAAAUCAUAACAAUUGCGAUUGCAAGACCUUGACUUGUGUUGGAACCAUUAUGUACUAAUUAGUGGAAUUAGCAACAAUUAUUUGCUCAACUCACCCCUUUAUUUACUUCCAAAUUUAAAUAGGAUAAAUUUAAUUCUCGGGCCUCAUAUGAGAAUUUUUACGCAUGCUUGUUUUUGUUCUAUAUGUAGUUAUGUUUGUUUGUCACUUGGGUUGACUAAAAAGUUAACAUCUGAAUUCAUUUUGAGUUUUUUAUAAAAAAAAUUAAAACAUGGCUCUAUUUAUGAAUGUGUACGUUUGUAAGUACGAAAAAUUGAUGACUAAUUAAUAUAGAAGAACCAGAUCUACUUUCAUGGACAAACAGCACCAAAUUGGCUGUCCGAUGCAUGGGUCCAUUCCUGUCUACAAGAUGCAUGGGCCCAUUCCUGUCUCCAACUAGCAACAUUGAUUGGUGCCGUGCCUCACGUGAACACCGUUCGAGUUUGCAUGCUUUUUAGGAGGGACCUCUAAUUAGGAAAAGAAUGGUACUAGCGAGCAUGUUUACGUCCAGAUAACAAUGACCGAGCAGUGCAACAUACGACAAAGUGUACCCGUAUCCUGUAUUUAAAUACACGAUCCUGUUAAUAUGAGCAAGUGUAUCCCAUACAGAAAAGCACUACAUACAUGAUCUCUUUAGUUAAGAUAGCAUGGUUUCAUCUAUGUGAUAUAAUUUUUCAGGUUUGUUCAGGAUGUUGGGCAAUUGAUGUUGAACUACUGCUUGAAUUAGUUUAUAAAAUGACCAUUUAAACAUUUACUGCAAGAAAAUGCUUAAGGACAUAUUGUUUUCCUCUAAGAAGAUGGAGGAGGUUAUCCCCCAUUCAGCUACCGGAUGUAGGUGGGAUUUGAACCAAGUCAUUGAGUAUCAACAUCCAGAAUGAUUUCACUAAUUACUGCAAUUGACAUCCAUAUUUUAAAACACUUGUUAAGGUAUAUGAUAAUUUCAUGGAGCCUACUAGUUCUAGUUUAGCAAUCUAAUAAUCAACCAUUUCCUCUGUACAAUACUAGUACCAUUGAAUUAAAAAAAAAUCCUCUUGCACCACCUCAUAAGUGGAAGCUUUCAUUUAUACAAAAUAGGCUUCUCGGAGCAUUACCCCUUUAUCAUGCCAUAGGUUUCUCACCAUCUUACACAUAAUUUGGGGCUACUGAAAUUGAUUUCUAUGAGCCGUUUGUUUAUACUUAUUGGAUGUUAAUUUUAGGGUAUUUUAUUCAUUGUUCAGCAUGAACUUUUCUACUGUAGACAUAAUCGAAAUUAUAGGAAGCUUCGAUAAAGACUAGCUAAAUUACAUCUUGACCUUUAAUGAUAAAAGUUUAUUCAUAUAUCUUUUUAGUCUUGUAUAUUGACAACAAAUGUAUAUAUAUAACUAGCAACGUAGUUACAUUACUCUCUAUGUGAGAUGGGAAAAAGACUAGGUGCGGAGCCUUCUUGCAAAUUGUGGGCAAUUAAAUAUGCAAAUUCAUAAACACAAUAAUAAUCUUGCAAAGUGCUAAAAUUUAGCACCAACCUUAGAUUAUCUUAACCAUUUCAAAAAUUGUAGUGAAGUAUGUAAACAAUGAUGGACAAUGAAUUUAAUGAAUUGGAUAGUUCAUAGACUAUCAACAACCUAAGUUUGGUAUGAACGCAUUAUUAGAUUAAGCACUGACUGAAAGGCAUGCCUACCUAAUUCUUUCUGACAACUCACCAUCUUACACAAGUAUGCACAUAAGAUAAUGCAAAUAAUAAUUCAAGCAUUGGACCAUUUCCUACAUCUGUAGCUAUCUUUGGUGCGUCCUUUGAAUAUGUCCCUCUAACUCUGAAAGUACCAGAAUGACGACAAUUUAUAUAUAACCACAAUCUAUAUAUACACACACGUACACAGGCACAUAGUUAAAUUAUUAAAUAAAUUCAGCUGAAUUAUCAAAGUACAAUAGUUUUGUCAACUCAAGGGAGCACACAGAAGUCGAAGCAAAAUAAGUCGCCUCACCCAAUUCAUGGCCAAAUUAGCUACUUUGCGUGCUUCUGUGUGAAUAUACCAAAAUUUUAAUUUUUUAAUUUACAUCUUUUCGAUGCUUUUUAUAGUCUCUUCUGCCCUGCAGCUUCAAAGAUCCUCAACAACUGAACGAAUGCUUCAUGAAGCAAUUCACCAACUUUUUCUCAAACCAUAAGCAAGACAAGGGAGUCACCUGCAGUGAUUAUCCUUAAUUAUUUAUACGUACCACCUUUGAGAGGACUAGGCGUCCAUGGAAAAAGACUUGUAGGAGCUGCUUGUUCUUCAUUACACUUUGCAAGAUGGAACCAGCCCAUCCUUGUAUUUAAGAUCAAGAUGUUAGUGUCCAAAUGGGCCCCUCACGAUCCAAUUCGAAGAUAACGGGUUCAGGUUAAAAAAAAAGAAGAAAAUAUUAUGAGGGGAGACAGCUCAUGCUAGCCUAGCCGAAAAAGCGCGGUCAAUCGGCGAUCUUUUCCUUUCCUUUUUUUUUCCCUCUUUUUUUUAACAAAUCGAUAAAGUACGGUUUUGGCAGUUGAGUUCUUCUGAACGACAUGAAGAGCUGAGAAGCGGGGCGGGAAUCGUGUCCUACUUCCGAGGAGUCGGACUUGAAAAAGAAAAGGUCCGAAUCCUACCAAUUCUCGACUUUAUGUCCCGUUACCGGGCCCGGUCCAGACCAGGCCCAAUCUACCCUUCUUUCGAAGACAGACGUUCGUUCCGUGUCUGAUCUUGCGAGGAAGUUGCAUUAAAGAGAGCGAGGACGAAGGGUGUUUUAGGGAGUUGGGCCAGGAUGGGCAGGACAGGCUGCUGCACGUGGCAAUGCCAGGCUUUACACGUGUCGGUAUCUGGUCUCGCUGCUUCAUCUGAUGCAAAUGCAGGACAGGGGAGCAGCGGGAAACACGGUCAAAGAAGAAGAGGGCGCGGUACACGAGAUAAUGGUUGUCAGUACCGAGGAUCGAGUUGGCAGCCUACGGUUUUGGGCGAACCCCGCCAAAUACAGGCUGCUUCGGAGUCCGGCGUAGGGCCAGCUAGGCGUAGAUCCUAUGGUUGAACAGUCGCAGCAACGGAACAGUUGAUAUGGGUCCAAUUAUUUGAAGCCAAUCAUGCAACCAUUCUAUAACAAGUAUUAUAAAUAUAAUUGUAAAAAGAAAAACCUCAACUUUUCCUCAUAAAAAAGUAAAAAAAAAAAAAAAACGAAAUAGUAAGUGUAAAGUUCAUUGUUUUACUUAAUAUAUCUAAUUGUCAAGUUCGAAUGUUCAAUAUGGCAUAGGCUCGGUCCGACCUUAGGAAAGUUUCUUUCUGCGUACCCAUAAGAUUUAUCUCAUGGUAUAUGAGCUUUUUUCGUAUUUAUCUAGAGAGAUAUCUGCAAAGACUUAAUGCAUGAUGUUUUACAUUGUUUUUAAUUUUUUAAAAAAAUUAAAGGUUAAAAAACAAUUGCGGAGGAUAGUUUUUUUUUUUUUCCUUUGAUGUAGUAUAUGCCUGUUCCAACAAAAUGAUGAAUAGAAUGAUGCACUCCCUUUCCAAGUUCAGACUUCAGAGGGGUUCAAAAUGGUGUUUGAUUAUAACAAAAGUAAACUUUUGGAGAGAUGUCCCCCACUGUACCAAAUAGGACCCUAUGCAUUUAUUUGGAAUCCAUACUCGAUUCAAGAAGGCUAUAGAUCUCAGUUGAGUCUAAAUAUGUUCUGAAUCUGCAAGCCUCAAUACCGGUCCAACUGGUUUUUGCAUUUGAUCCUUCAAGAUCAUUUGUCAAAGGAAAUCGCUAAAUUAAGUCUUGAUACUAACUAUGAUCAAUAUUUAUUGAAUGCAGGGUGGUUGCUCCCGUGCUCUUGCAUCCAAAUUUUCACAUGUACCAGUAUGCAGGCGGACAGCGGCACUUUGGCACUGGAUAAAUAGAUGGCGAGACCAAUUUCAGGCAAAAGUGGGCUUGUGAUGAGGGUUUAAAUAGGAAAACUGCUCCUUUUAGAGGUGCAGGCCGAAGCCAUAUUAUUUCAUGCAAUGCGCCAUUCUUCUGCUAUCUUGUGCCUCGUUGCUGAUUCGUUUCGGUUCGCAGUGAUGCCCGGAUCAUUCAUCUGCCUGAGUUGACCCCUAUUUGCGAGGCUUUAUUUUUUUCCUCUUUUUCGACCCACUACUGCAACCUUUGCAGAAGUAAAGAGAGACAUGGGAUCUGCUGAGAAAUUUCAUCAUAUAAAGGGAACACAUUUAAGGAACCGCAUAAGGAGCAAGCCAUGGUGGUCUCAAAAGCAGAGGAAAUGGAAAAGACCAAAUCUUUCUUUGAUCCUUUAACUUUAAUCAGCUUUGUUUAAAGCUAGUACUGGAACACCAACUUUAAGACCGGACGGGAAUUUCCUACAUCCGCUUCAUUCUCCCAUUAAAGGACGAAGAGAGAUCAGCUUGUAUUUUAUUACUAAGAAAUGGCGACCACAAGGUUGUAUGCUGUCCCAUUAACCACAAGGUCUGUUAUACAUAAGCAAUAACUUUUAAUGACGACCAAGUACAAAUUUCUAUCAUUAGUACUAGCAUCAUUGAUAGCAGCUUUCACAUAGCAAUUGAGAGCUCUACAUAAGCUAAGCCUCGUUUAGAAACUCUCAUCAUUAAUAUGGAUGCUAUUGAUCCAAAACCAUAUAAUGUGAUUUUUCCUCUUUUUACUAACUAUUUUCAAUAUGCCAUACGACAGUGCAACAAAUAUAACAAAUAAGACGUCUAAAUAGUCAAAUUUCUGUUGUAUAUUAAAUAAUGGAAUUCAAUAAUGAUUGGAGAUAUUAAUAUCUGCAUCAUUAAUAUCCAUUGUAUAAUAAAAAAUAAAAUUUAACAAUGACCAACAAAUUAAUGCUAACAUCCAUACAACGAAUAGAGACCUCUACAGAAAUUAAGCGACCAAGUAUAAAUUCUCAUUAUUAAUACUGACAUCCAAAGUUUGCUGCCUCGGUAUCGAAUCCUAUAGUGAUGCCAUUCUAUUACUAUGCCGGUACACCCAGUGUAGAGCUAAUUCAGUAUACCGACACUUGGUACACCUCUUGUAUCGCAUACUGGUUCGGUAUCCCUUCUAUAUCGUAUACCGAUAGCGUCAAUAUGCAUUGAUACCAACCGGUACGACAAACUUUGUCGUCAUCAUUGAUAUCAGUGUCCAUAUGGCAAAUGAAGAACUCUACAUAAGCAAGCUUUUAUGUAAAUACUCUCGUCAUUAAUUCUGGUGUCUUUAAUUCUAGCGUCAUAUAAUGAGUACAAUUUUUUUAUUUUUUAUCUAUUCUUGAAAAUAUAAUAAUAUAAUAUAGUAUAUUAUAAUAAAUAAAAGGCUUCAAUGUCGCAUAGUAAGCAAUAAUUUUUAGUGAUAGAUAAGUACACUAAUAUCAUCAUCAUUAAUAUUCAUUGCAUAUUCAGUAAUGAACUUUAAUAAUGGCUAGCAUAUUAAUAUUAACAUCAUUAAUACAGGAGUCUACAUGAUGAAAAAGAACUAAGCCUCCAUUAUAUACAUGUAGGAUGCAUGCACCGUGCAUCCAUUCAUCCAUCCAUNNNNNNNNNNNNNNNNNNNNNNNNNNNNNNNNNNNNNNNNNNNNNNNNNNNNNNNNNNNNNNNNNNNNNNNNNNAUGUAUAUACGCAUGUGUGUAAGCAGGUACGUAUGCAGCAAAUAAUUCAAGCUUUGAUUGUCCUCAUGGAAAUAUCAACUGUACCCUUGAACUUUAUUAUAUAAAUUAGUUUAUUUAAUCACAAAUUAAAGUUGCGUUCUGUUAUGCAAUUCAGAGGCGAAUAAUGUCCACCGUUGAUAAACAAAUGCAUGAUAUUUUUUUAUAGUUUAGCAUGUUUCAUCUGGUUAAUAAUAGAGUCGUAAUUGAUGGAUGAAUUAUUUCUACCAUAACACAUAUUAAAGGACCUUUGUUCACAGUCAUUGGUAGGGGUAGGCUAUGACUCUUAGCUAUUUGUAAUGACAUUUUUUUAUUCCGAGCAAGCAUUGGCUGGAGACUGGCAAGGACGAAGUAUGAGUUUAGAGAGAACAGAUAAUUAUUAGAUGGUGGUGGUGAGCAAGACCAACACUUAUAUAACCAAAUAGGACAAAUAUAGCCAAAAAAGUCAGAGAACGUGACAGUAUCAGUUCGUGCCUUCUUGGAGCCAUGCCCCUUGCAAUGAUACUAAGUCCUUGGCCUUCCUACCCAUGGUGACAUCACCACCCUUGGAAUCCAUAACUAUGGUAAUAAUGAUGUCUUCCCUCCUCUCCCCUCCGAUGCUAUGUUCCAAAUUACCAACACCAUUGUUUGAUCCAUCCAUGUCCCCUGUUAAGAUUAGGUGAGUCAUAUAUCUUCCCACAGUCGAGCUCAAUUUCUUUUUCCUAUGUUUUUAAUAUUCAUUAUUAAUUUGCACAGGUUUUUAUGGUGGGAUAUAAUUGGGAAUUGUUUAUGGCAUGGAUUUAAGCAUCUUUUGGAUGAAUAAAGUGCUAGUUUUGGUGAAGUUAAACAUUGUCUCUGGUCUUGAAAUUUAGUUAGAAGUCUAAAAAAAUAUUAGGCUCUUUAAGGUAAAGCUACCUGUGAUUUAUCGCCAUCUCAGAGACUUUCGGGAAUAAACAUCUUUCCUUCCUUGGAAGCUUGUACUCGAGUACAAGAAAUGGUGUGCUCCAACAAGCCAUGCAUAUACCUGCACAUGUAAGGAUAAAUUAAGUUCUGCAAUACUUGUUGGAGAGGUAUAAAUUCUCCACCGACCAGAAUCAGUUCCUCAGUGUAUGGAGUCAGCACCAUUUCUGUCUAAGCUUGGAAAUUAAUGCGGCAUGAACUUGCGGAAAAAACAACCAUACAUUGACACCAAAACUUUAGAAAAAUAAUGCAGGUCUGAAAUGUGAAUAUGAGACUAAGAUACCAGCUUAAUCAGUAGAGUUUUCAAAGCUAACCAGUUUUCUAUUCAACUACCUUGAGUGGAUCGUGAAUCAGGCAAACCCUUUCGCAGCUUGGAGGAGGUUCCAGAAUCAGUAUUUUUUUGUCCAUUCCAAAGAAUUUGGACUCCAUAAUUUCCUUGGGCAGGUUCAGAGUCUUGACUUGUCCAUAAUGCGUGAAUCACUAUCAUACACUCAGAAUGAUCUUCUUCAUGCAAUCAUGUGGAGUUGGCAUAACCAAGUUUCAAUCAAACAAGCACAGAGGUCGAUAACACCCCAUGUCUACUAUUCCAAUAAUCAAGACUAGAGCAUUAUGCAUGUCUCAGAAACUGAUCAGUGGUGCAUACCUGCUGAUGCAGCCGAAACUAUAUGCAGGAAGCCAGUAGCAACAAUUACACUGCGCUUUUCACCUACCCUGGACUUGAGCAACCGAGCAGCAACCUUAAUUGAAUCACUUACAGAUGAAAUAUGACACAUAACCAACAUUGCUGGGUUGUGAUCUGAUGAUCCUCGUGAAUCACUGGGAUGACCCUCAAGAGUCUUCCUAUCAUCAAUCGUCCCCAAUAUCCAAAAAAAUCCAUUCCUAAAUCUAAUGUAGUUCUGAUCCAGACAUCUUUUAAUGUUGAAGCUGAAGCAACAUGAGAUUUUCCUCCUGCAAUGCUGACCUCUGUCAACAACCGAAUCUCUGGCAUUCGACCUGUAAAGAAAAGUAGAGCGGGCAUAAUCUUAAAAAAAAAAAAACCAUGUUCACUUGUCAUUCUGAUUACCUAAGAGAUAUAGAACCAACCAACUUUCAAUUUGUUCUCAAUCUCUAAUGUCCUUAAAUACACACACGAAAGGAUGAAGAUGAGAAUUUUAGCAAUUCACUUGUGUUAUCAUGCUGUCAGUUUGACUUGGUAUAACACUUCCUCAGAAUAAAAGAUAAUAUUGAAAAUUGUUAUGUAUUAUCAGUGAGGAAGUGUGGUUCAUAUGUUAGAUUUAAAAUGCAUCUGAAAGAAGAAUAGAAAAUUAAAAUACUUGGUUUCACAGCUAAGGCAAAAGAAAAGCACCUAAAGAGAAAAACCAUUAGAAAAAGAAAAUAAUACAAUUAAAAAAAUAACAAAAAACAUCAGCAUUGCAUCAAAAGAGCAGACAAACAAGAAAAUGUACAAUGGAUAAUACAAUAUGGGAUAGCCUACCAGAAGAGUUCCUGAAAGUUAUCUAUCAUUAUGUAGUGAGUCACAGUCUUUUUUUUCAGAGUUAUGAGAGAUUCAACCAUACUUCAUUCGCUAAUAAAAGAAAAAUAUUCUUUAAAUUACCAGAUCACCCUAACCUUUAUAAUUGAAAAAGAAAUUAGAAACAAAAUGUAUAUGAAGGAUUAACAGAGGAAAUUGAAGUUUUUAAAAUAAUUUUAAUGUCAAUAUUGAUGACUUCUCUUUUAUGUCUAGAAUGAAAGCUCCAUCCUAUUUCACUUACAAGAAAUAAAAGAGCAAUUAGAAAAUUAGAUAGAGUAACAUGACUAAGACAACUGAAAAAAUUUAUGAGCUAGAAAUUUACAAUAUAGAAUAUAAAGUAGUUUAAGACAAAUACAUUGUAAAAAGACUAAAUAAUAAAAUAUGCCUUGUUUCUAUAAUCCUAUGGAUAUGCAUGUACUGCAAAAAUCCUAAUAAUUUGUGGUCCAAAAGUAGGAGAAUAUUUAACAUGUAUAUACAAAAGUUUGUGGAUCUAAGAAAGGUGAGAAAAAGAAAACAAAUAGAGAUGAAAGGAGAUAAAACAAAUAUAGAAGAACAAAAAAAGAAAGAUCCUUAUUGAUUCGUGCUAAAGGUCUACGAAGUCGUUUCUUUUCAUUUUACUCUUUCCUUUUGAAAGCCCAAGCUGGCUCGCUCACUCUCUCUGACUCUCCCUCCCCCCCUCCUCUCUCUUCUCUUUCCUUCAAUAGUUCCCAAAAUUGGUAUUGGAAGUCAAACAGGACCCUCUGUGGCAGGCAUAAAAGGAAUUCUCGAUGCUCGGGGGGUCCAUGGCCCCUCCCCUGAGAUCGACCAUUGGAUUAUAUAAAUAUUUGGGUGGCCAGGAAUACCAUAUUAGCCCCUAUUACCAAUGUAUCUAAUGAAUUAUGGCAAAGAGUAUAACAAUAAUUUUAUGAAUAUUUUGGUUGUGAUUAUCGAAAAGCUAAACUGGAAUGGAGGUCAGAUGAACAGUUCUAUCAUCCUUGGCACUCUCGUCCUGCCUAGACAGCCCACUAAGUGAGCACUUUCUUACGGAACUAGGCACCUGUUUAGGCAAUGGGCCGUCACCUCGACCAUCCAUUUCUAUCAAGUGCUCACCCAACCCAGCCCAAAUAUACAGGACCUGCAUGACUCAAUGUCCAACCCAGUUGAGCAUAGGUUCAGUCAACCCAUUAAGCAAAACCUUUUUUUUAAAAAAAAAAUUGCAGCAUUUUUCAUUACCUUUUCCCCCAUUUUGGAGUUACAAUUGAUGUUAUCAAGAGGAUAUUUCUCUUCAAUAUUUGUUGGUGAUUCCUCUUUGCAGUUUUUUCAAACAAUAUGCUAUUUCCAGUCGGCAGUUGAAGUCAAAAUUUGUGAUUUGCAUAAAAUUGAGUUUAUAUUUGUUGUUAUCUUUAUCUGAUUGUGCUUCGUAAUGAUUCUUCCAUAGGUCAAGCAGCCUAAGGCAAUUUCUUUCUGUUCUCUUUUUUGGGAAUAUGUUAACUUACUUGUUUUCAUUUUCCUAUUGCUUCUCUUGUAUUGUGCUCUGUUUUCAUGUUUUUUAUAGUGUAUAUGAUUGAUAGCAGUAAAAUACCAGCCUUACUACUGUUAUCGUAGUAUAAACGUCAUGUAUAUCAUAUAUGAACCCAUAUUCCACAUCCAAAAAGAAUGUGCUCUACAAGUGGAGCCAAAACAACAUUGAAGUUGAAUACUUCUAUUCCUUAAGAUUAGUACAAACAAUAGUUUCAUGAUAGACUUGGAAGUCUUCUUUCUUUUUUUUUCCUUUAUAAAAAAAGGUAGAUUUCAUGCAUUAAUUAUUAUCAAUGUACCCUAAAAUCACACAAUAUGGAUAGCUUAUUGAAACAAUGCAAGCUUCGACCAACAUUUGAAAUACAUGAAGAAAUUUUUGUAUAAAGUCUGUUGCCCUGGUGGUUGCCUAAUUGCCAUUUCAAUUUUAUAUGCAAUCAAAGGGUACAUUGCCUAGGGUCUUCUCCUGGGCUAUUUGACAACUAGGGUGGCACUAUUUUCAAUUUGUUCAUUUCAAAAAUGCCAUGCAAAUGAUGCCUGUCAGUUAGACAAAAUGUUUUGCAUCAGAUCUUGUCUCACUUUUGCAAAAUCUAAAACUGCCCGAUAUCAAUGAGAUAACCCAGUUUGGACUCAUGAUAAUAUGCACCAAACUUUUCGCAUAGGAUGCAAAGAAGACCACUAUAGAACUAUUAAAGUCUUAUAUUGUGACAACUUAAAUUUGAAGAACAUGAAAUAGAAAACUGAAUGAUAUAUAAGCUUGCAUUUUGGAGCCUGUACCACACAAAUUCUAUCAGUUUUAUAUGUUUGAAAAUACAUGCAAGAGAGAACUAGAUUAGCAUUCGAGAAAAAAUUGUGGAUUUCAAAGUUUUACAUUAUGGUGAGUCAGAGACAAGGACCCAGUGAAAAAUCUGCCUCCUCCAACUACCCCCCAAAGAGAAAGGGGUUCAGCACAAGACCUUACCAAUACAUACUUCUCAGGGGUAAAGCAGCCAUCAAAAGUCAGGAUAAAGCUUCACAAAAGCAGAUUUUAUUUGAUGAGAUUGUAGAGAGGUGAAAACUGAAUCAGAUUUCAGCAGCACUUUAUAGGAUAAAGGAAUAAUGAUCAGAUUAACAAAGUAGGAAUGUAGAAUUGCUGUAUUAUCAUGAAAUAUCAAUUGGUGUUGGCUUUUACUUAAAAGAGAUUCAUCCAGAUACAGAUAAAAGGUAUACAACAACCUCAAAUAGGACUCUUUGGAUUUAGCAUGAAUCUGCAAGCAAACAUUGUGACAGUAUGGCUGGCUCUAUUCUACUUGCAACUGAAGCAUAUUUGGACUUGGUUCAUAAGUCCUCUUUUUCCUGUUUUUUUUCUUUCUUUGCUUUUUUGAGUACAGUGGUUCAAAGGUCCUUCACUAGAGAAGUAAAAUGGUGGAUAUGAUAUAUCAGUGUUAUCCCAUUAUCAAUGUUGUAAGCCAAUAAAAGUCACCAAAAGAAGGGAAACAGAAAAACAACAUUCAUGUCUCAAAGGUCAGACUUUAGUCAAAUGAAAAAGUCAGCUCUCUUGGUCGAAACGGAGGUAAGUCAGGUAAAAUACCUUCAAACAGUCCAAAGUCCCCAACCUCUCAUUGAAAUCUAAGAAUUUUAGAAUUCCUCUUUCAUAUUUCCCACCAACUGGCACCAAGAAUGACUCUUCUAGCAUUCUAGACCAAGUCAAGUACAAAAUCUUAAUUAUAUGCAAAUGAGAGUUGCUUGUACUAAGAAAUAAGACAGGAUCAGGAUCUUAAGUUUCAUAUAUCACACACAUAUGCAGACCUGCUUGACCAAAAUCGAAAAAUUGACCAAGAUCAUGAUCUUGGUGUAUAAUUGGAUUAGGUCUUAGCUAAGCCUAAGACAACAAAUGAUCUAUUGAUGUUCUUAAAGCAAAAGUUGCCUUUGCAUACAACAAACAGAUAAUAUAUAUAUAUUGGUGUCUAUAGUAGAUAAAGUAGAGCAGAUAAUUGUUGGUACGCCCCUUCAUGCUGUUGCAUUUGUCUCCUGAAAGAAAAUUUACUUAUGAAGGCAACAAAGACUCAGAUAUGCUAUGUAAAUUAUGCAGCUGAAUUUAGAGCACCAAAGAUACACCAGUUAUAGGAAGAGCAGUUGUCAACAUGAACCCAUCAACCCAUCCGAAAACAUACCCGAAAAAGAGAAGGCAGGGCGUUAAGCCAAAAGAUUCAAAUUACUCUGAAACCAACCUGUUCAUUAGUGGACUGGCUUCAAAUUGAAUUCCUACACGAUCGGGUCAAUAUGGGCAGGUGGAGAGAGAAAGCAAGGGGGGAGGGCGGCUGCCACCCUCAAUCUCCAGAGCCAACAAGCCCUCCUUUGAAACAUCUCCUCUUGUUCCUACUCUUCUUGGCUUUGGCCCUAUUAUUGCCAAAAUCAUGAAGAAAUGGGGUUUAAUUUUUAUUUAUUUUAUAAACUAGUAUUUAGGACACGCACUGACAUGAAAAAGAUAUAUGAUCUAUAAUAUCUCGCCAUUAUACAACUUCUAAAGUAGUAUAUGAACAAAUUCUCUCUUUCUCUCUCGUGAUGGGAUUCAUCUAGUGAUGCUUUGAUAAAACCAUAAACAUAAAAAAGAUUCAGCAGUCGGUACAGAGAAAUAAAUCAAAAAAAGAAUUCUUUCCCAAAGAUUCUUGCACACCUUAAAUUGGGCGUGGGGGUUGCCAAGUCGUUGCAGCAGCUGCUUCAUCCUCCCAAGAUCCAAAUCAUCAUCAGUAUCCGUUCCAGUCCCUUUAAGCACACCCAAUCGCUCAUAAUUCUUGAGCUUCUCCAUGUAAUCCAAGAAAUCGCCGAGCUCCGGAUCCUCCGACAUUGCCGACCGCAUCGUCGAUCGCAAGAAUCUCGCAACCAAUCAAGAAACUUCAGUCCCACUAUCAGAUGGAAACACGGGAAAAUCAAUCCGGCAAGGCAUUGCCUCUCUAUUUUCACCGCAUCAAAACUAAUCACGAAGUUAUUAUCGAAAUCAAAAGAAACCAAAAGUGGCUGUCCCGAUCAAGAACUCGAAUAGCGGGUUUCUUGGAUAAUUUAGAAAUUUGAAUGGCAUCCGAUGGAGACAAUAAAACUCUAGAAGAGACGGGUAAAACAACGAUAUCCAAUAAAAAAAAUUUUAUCGAAAAGAAAAAGAAUAGAAAUUGGGCAUCGAAUGGAAGAAAGAAAGACAAAUACGCGCAAACCUCUUCAUCUCCACAACGACUGCUCUCUUACUCCAUCAUGGAACGCCUUAUCGCCUCUCAAUUCAGAAACGGAAGAAGAUCAAAGAUGAGCGAGAGUGGGUUGCAAUGAAGGGGCUCUAGCGGGCCUCUCAUGGGAAUCAAGAUUGCUUUCAUAACAAAUGCGGGUUUUAAAUUGACGCGACCCGCUAAUGAUCUUGGGUGAUGGGCCCGAUCAACCUGCCGGGCUUGCGAAACGCCAAUCGAUCCAAGAACCAAGAGCGGGCUGUUAAUCUAAGGAUUGAGGAAUCAGGAGAGUAUUAACCGAAACUGGGCCAAGUAGCGUAUCCUUCAAGCAUCCAGCUGGCUUCGCGUGGUGUGCGUAUGCGUGUUGACCAAUCUAUGGGCCGUCUUGGGUCGUGCAAGCACCGGUCCAAUAGUUAAACAACGACCCACCUACGGUCGGUUGGAGACAAAAUUUGGACCUUCGGAUCGGGCCUGCUUGACAUGCUGGGCUUAGGUUAUACCGCUAUAGUUGACUGAAAAGCCCAAUAUAUACCCCCUUUUUUUGGUUAAGGCAGUUAAAGACAUAUCCAUCUAGUAUAAGUAUAUCCAACACAAUCAGAGAUAGAAUGUCCCAAAAAUGAACCCAGGAUCCUCCUAUGUGAUGCAUCCAAAGUAAUCAGCUAUGUAAAAUGCCAUCUAAUCGGUAGCAAUAUUCAUCUCUUUAUAUACGUGGGUGGCCUAGAUGGAGCUGCAGUUACUAACUAUCCUUUAAACAGUGAACACCAAUGGAUUGGUGCUGCCCUGAUAUCCACCAAAUCAUCAUCGCUCAGUCUCCCUCUAAAAUAAUAUAGCUCACUCGUAAGAUAAGCCGUGCAUUCCUUAUGUUUUUCCAUGCCGCUCUUAGUUUUACUUUAGAAUAGAAAUAUCAAAAAUUUGACACCACCUGUAACUACGAAGCCGGAAUCCUGUCUUCUGAUCAUAAAUCAGGAUCGACCUCUCCUACCUCCAUCUACUACGCUACUGCCGAAAUUUAUCUUGAGAAAAGCCAUCCGAAGGCGAACAGUAAACAUAGAAAUUUUCUUAUAUAAAAAUGGGAAAAAGAAAAAGGAGGGAAGACCAUGAACUUCUCCUAGCAUGUUAGGAUGGCCGCUUCAGUUAACCGCGAAUAAACUGCCCAAACGAAAGGGAAAGUAGCUACCAGCUUUGACUUGGGAAGCCCAUGCCAAAGGUUUGAGACCAAUCAGCCAUCCAAACAUGGAGCUCCCCCUCGGAUUUCUUCUCAAAUGUGGUUGUCAACAUUCCCAUUUUAUUAAAAUUUUAUGAUCUAAAGUUUCCCUAAUAGGUAAAGACCUCUCCUACCAUGACCGUCUACUUCUCAUCAACAACCAUUGGUGGAAUAUUCUUGCAGUUCCUUAAUGAUGCAAUGCCUUCUUUUCCCCGAAUCACCCGGCAAGAUAUGCACCAGAACGACCAGACCUCCGCUUAGCAUGAUUAUGUGAGAAGAGGCCUUCAGGUAAAAGUCAAGAUGCAACCAAACUUUGCCAAUGCAAUAACAUUCAGGAGAUUUCAUUAGGUGCAAGUGGAUUGUUCAUAGAAUGAAGAUAGCAUUCGUAAAAAAGAGCCAAAGGUGACUUAUUUGUACAUAGAUUACUUGAAUAUACAUCACAUGCAAAGAGUCCUAUAGUCUAGGGAAACAUUAUUUACACUAUGUAAGAAAGCUUUUUUCACCAAAUAUCAAGUGUAGCUACCUUGGGGAGUAGGAUUACCAAAGUGACAGCGAAACCAAUUUAUUGGAUAAAAAAUUCUGAUAAGGAUACUUUUGUUUUAGAAUAACAUUAUUUGAGCAUUCCAAACAUUGCCUUAUAAGAGUGCAGUUCAUUUUCAGUUGUUAUAGUUCAAGGUGGCCUGCUACAUGGUUAGCUAUUCGCUCUACAUGGAUGGGGGCACCACCCUGAUCCCGUAUCAUUUGUCUUGCUAUCUCACUUGCCAUAGAAGAUAACCUCAAUGUGCAUUCUUCUAAGUAUCUUACGAAGUUGCAACUGAAAAAGAUUCGAUGGCUAGUCGAACCUUCAAUUUGUUUGCUGUUGAUGAAUUGAGAACUAUUGAAUACUACUAAAGCAACAAAAAAAAUCACAUAAAAAAAAGUUAAUAUGAUUGAUAUGUAACCUUUUGAUAAUCCAACAACCAAGUGCUUGUAUUUAGUACCAUACAGUGAUUUUGUAAAUAGAUCAACCAAAAAACUACAUAUCUAGUAAGAACUUCUUUGCAUGAGAUUUCUGUAUUUCCCCGGAGGCUCAAGCCAAAUUAACGGGAAAAGGCCGUGUUUCGAUUAUGCAGCGGGCCACGUAAGUGGUCCUAGCUGUGUUCAAACCAUAGGCUUUGAUCCAUGUCUCAUGCAAAUAAAGUCUCAUUUGGUUAGUGGGGAGGGGAGAAAGAAAAAUAUAGUGAACAAAAAAUUGAGGAAUGCUUUAUAUUUAGUUAGAGUUUUCAAAUAAGAAAGAUAGAAAAGUAGCUUUUCCAUAAUAAUAAGAUUCUUAUAUUUUAUGAAAAAGAAAAAUCUAUAUAGACAUGAAAAGAUCCAAUUUUCACUAGCUGAAAAUUAAAAAAAAAUUUCCUAGAAGUGCCUUCAAGCUUUUAGAUAGAAUGAGGUAAACUAUUUUUCUUUAUCAAGUGCAUAACAAGUAUUUUAUAUAACUUUUCUAGAAAAGUAGAUGCUCGGCCAAAUAUAAACCAAUCUGUAAUGUGAUACAUUUUUAUGGUCAACCAAACAUACAAAAACUAAUCAAACACACAAAAACUACUUUUUUAGACAUCAUAAACCCAAGCACCAGUUUUUCAGAACCAAAUGAGUCAUACUUAUUUUCCAUUGGAUGGAUGUAGAUAAAAACAAGCCAAACUCAUUACUAUUUAUAGAUGAAAUAAGCCAAAAGUCUAUUAUUGUUUGAAUUCUUCCAAAUAGUAAGCGACAAGGCAUCCUAUUUUUUAUUUAGAAAGAGACAAGACUCAUUUUGAGAUUGAAUAUUUGUAUGAGAUUGAAUCUUCUUCCGUCUAAAUUAAUUUUCUACCCCUGAUUGGACUGCUAUUUAAUGAUUAGGGCCUAAAUAUUACUUUACACCAUAUUCAGAUCAAUGAUUGCAAUCUAAAUAUUGAUUAAUAGCAGAUAUUGGAAGGUUAGCCGGUAUAGAUAGUAAUAAGUCUUUAAAAAGAAUAUUUUAUGCAAGCCAAAUAAAAGAUUUUAAAAGGAUGCUAAUCUUCAAUUAAGUACCAAGUUGUAGAUUAAGAAUUUGGUCAAGAGGCUGAAGUGCUCGAUUAAUAAACCAAAAUUAUAGUCAGCCAGUAGGCCAAGUUGUCCUUGAUACUUAGUCAUUAAACCAAGUACUCGGCUAGUAGGCCUAAGCAUACAACUACCAGGUUGAAUACUAUUAGAAGAAUACCAAUCUUGGACCUAGUACUAGAGAAGUAGGUAAAAACACCUUGUAUAGACCAAAACACUAAGGGUACAAGUCGAAGUAUUAGAGUGUAGGUCAAAAAAGUAUUAAGGGUGGAGGUCAAAAGACCAAGGAUGCAGGCUAAAACAUCAAGAGCUAUCUAUCUAGAAUGAGGUUUUUAGUGGAAUGCAACCCAAAGAGAGUGGCUGAUCGGUAGUUACCACUCCCUAAAAUAUUGGAGAAGAGGUAACACUAUGUAGAAUAUAGGAAUAGUUGAUGGAAGAUAACUACCAUGUAUGGUACAUAACAGUGGCCCAUAUGAUGCAAACUAGUAAUGAUGAGUGUCAAAAUUAGAUAGUAAUAUUUAUCCUAACAAUUAAUAGGAGCUACUUAAGUAUCAAGCUAUAGCUAUGGAAGGAAGAGCAUCAACAAAUAUUUUUCCUCUUUAUCUUUUUAUUAUCUUUUUAUUAGUUUCUAGUCGUCAAUAGCUUUGGUAGCAUUUUGAUAGUUGAAGUUCUUGAAGUUCAAUAUAAUCUAACCUAUCUACUGCCCUUCUUUGUUUUGAUAAUCAUGGGUGGCAUGCAUGCAAUUAUCCAAUUCAAUAAUGGACAUGUUCUUCUUUCCAUCCCAUCUCGAGAGAAAGGAAACAGUUUUUCUUAAAAAAAGUUUUUGGUUCAAUCUAUAUACGGUUUGUGAUGCUUAUCCUUUUUCUCCGCAAAAGAAAGCUAAUGCUUUUUCUUGUUUUAAACAUAGGUUGGGGAAAUGUUAAAUUGAACUUGGAAUUAGAGACUAGAUGAGAACUUUUUGUCAGAAGGUCUUGAUAUGGACAUAUGUUUAAUCUUAUAUCGGUUAUUUAUUGAGUAUAUUUUGGGUACUUAUACCAGAUCAAGAAACCCAAAUAAUAUUUUGCGGUUAAUAUUUUUGGGUAAGGUCCUUGAUUGUUACAAAGAAUAUUAAAAUGAACUGGCCCAUGACCUAUGUGGACCAAAAAAUGAUGCACUAUGAGUAUAUUUGAGCUGAUCGUGGUAUUUGUGAUUGGAUUGGAAUGGAUUUGGAUUCUUAACUUGUCGAUGACACUAGGGCUUAAACGGGAGAAGUAUGCGAGGAUCCAUAUAGGCAUGUGUUUAGUUCCAUCUUGGUUAUUUGUUAGAUAGAUCUUGCGUAUUUAUAUAGAAUCAAAAAAUUCAAAUAAUACCAUUCGGUUAACCUUUUUUGGUUGAGGCCUUGCGUUAUAUACCAUGAUUAAUUUAACUCGCUCUAACUGGCAAACAACUUACCAUUGAUAAAGCUCUCGAAGUCAGAGCUGCUUGGGAGGAGGGAGUUUGUUUAGCCAGUACGGUGCUCCCAAGUACCAAUCAUGGGUUGACCAUAAUCUCAUCUCGCCCGAGCCCUCAUUCUCCUACCCAUAAUAUAUUGCUUCGUGAUAUUUGGGCUAGCUGCGGCAAUCUUUUCACACUUCCAUGCUUCCUAUGCUCUCUGUGGGGGAAAUCAAUUGGUGGGUUGGUUGGCUCCUGCAGCAUCUCAGGCGACCAGGAUUUUGUUGGUCACGCUCAAUGCCUCUACAAGCUGAUGAACUUGAUAGUUGCUGAUUGCCACGGCUGUCUUUCUAUCAGAAGUUAAUUUGUUUCUUUGCUCCUUCCUUGCGUACCUUGUUAAGGUUUGACCACCUCCCUCUUACAGCAGCUAGCUGCACCAUAUAUAUGUGAUGCUUUAAUUAUUCAUUCCCCAAUCCUCUCUAGCAUACUCAACACUAACUAAUCCUCGAUGAAGAACGUUCAUUAAAGAUUAGUGACAGUCUUCAUUGAAGGCUAUCUCUUCAACCACUCAGCAUAUUGUGUCCAUAUAUCAAAUGCACCACAAGAACAAGAACUCGAGAAAGUUGCCAAUUCUUCCUCUCAUUUCUUAUAUGACAGUAUAACAAUGGGGAAAGUUGAGGAACACUGCACUACUUGCAAGCUCAAGAUACAAAGGAAAAACUAAACAAGAGAUGCAGCAGCCUUAUUACAGGAUAAAUACAUGGCAAAAUUGCUAUCAGCCAUAUGCAGUGCUAAAAUAGCUCUUCAUAGUAUUGCUGCACAGGAUCUGCAGGACCUCGCUGUUAGAUGUUCCCACGCAGCGCGGUGUCUUGAACUGGCUCACUGCAGCCCCAAGGCACAGGUAGUGGUCCAGAAUCUUCUGGAAGGUUCCUCUUUCCACGACUCGUAGCUCGAGCGGUCCAAUGGCCUGUGCCUUCCUUGAACUAAUGUAGCCAGCGUCGACAAAGGAUCGGUCCAAGCGGUCACAGCAGCUGUGCAGCACAUCGUCGCUGCAGGCGUCGGCAUUCAACUCCCAGAAGAUCACGUAGCGACCAGGGUCUGCCGACAUGUCAGCAUGGCUUGUGAAGUCCACCAGCUCGAGCUUCUCUUCUGCUAAGAGCUCAGUGGCUUCUUCAACUGCUGAUUGGAGGUCCUUCUCAGUGUUUUUAUCAAUGUUGACUGUAAGAAGUAGGCCUCUCCGGCACACAAACUUAAGCUUUGGAGUGGAGUUGUGGAAGCCUGCUACUUUCACGACAUCGCCGAGCCUGUACCGGUAUAAACCUGCCAUUUCCACAAGAACCAUGCAUCUGAAAGAUAAUGGCUGAACAUGUCCACAGCAAGAAAUGAUUCAAGGAGGAUUGUCAAUGUGCUAAGUCUUGGCUAGCCCAUUAUUGAUAAGCUUUCUAGAGCAAGUGAGAUUAAAUACUUCAUUCAUGGUCAAAAUGUAGGGCAAGAAAAAGAAGAAGAAAUUACAGGAUGGCUGGAAGAGGAGGAGGGAUUUUCAAAUGAUCUUAUUGCCACAUAUUUGAAGAAAUUUAUCAACACUACAACAAUGUUUCGGUGGCAUGAGGUAUUUAUGCCACAUUAUUGUAAAAUAUUGCGGGCUGUACGAAUUCAAUUCAAGGCAGCAAGACCACAAUUUAGAACUCUGGAGUAACCGAGGAAAUUGUGUGAAACCAUCUCGACUAACACCAACCCUCUGGUUGUGUCCAUGGUUGUCCUAGUGAAAGACGACCAUCUCUUUUGACAGCAGGCCUACUCAGAUGAUUUUUAUUAUUAUAAUAACUAAGCAUGCCCAGUAUUUUAAAUUCAUAUGAUAAAAUAAUGCAAAAUGCGUAUUUGCAUGUGGUUGGUUCUAGUUUCAACUUAGCGUUGCAUAAUUGAUAUUUAUAUUUACAUUAAACAAGUUUAUAAAUGCAGCAAAACCAAGGUACAACAGGUUUUUAUGACAUAAACUUGCUAGUUGUAGCAUUUCAAUGCAAGGAAAACGUAACUUUAUGCAAUUUAGAAUCAUAACAAGGAUAAUUAAAAUGAUAGAAGGAUGCUAGCUAGAUUAGUUAGCCAAUAAACUCACAACAUAUAAUGAAAACACUCACUAACCGACCAUCGUCAAAACAAAUAUAACUUGUCUUUAUUCUAUCAAACCUGCUCCAUACCUAACACAACAUAAACCACGGUCUUAAUAACUUAAUUGACUUGCCAAACACGUCGCUCCAGACUUAAAAAAAACCCAAAAAAGGCUAGAUGACAUGUGGCAAGUUGACUGACCACUAAAAGAUCACCAUCAUAAUCUUUCUAGCACGCAGAAUUGUUUUACCAUGAUAGUUGCAGGCUUGUAGCCUAAUUUAUAAAAAUCUAUUCAAUAGAUCGGCCAAAAAAUCAAGAGUAAACUAUCCACUUCAAUAAACUAAUUCCUUCAAAGUUUAUCAAUUAUCACAUUAGUGAUUAGAAAGUUACAUGCUCUACAUCCAAGCCGGAGAAUGUGGCUCGGUGAGCUGGUAGUCCUGUCCACUCCUAAACCAGAAUAAGACUUACCUCUUUCUGGUCUCAACUUUAUGUGAUUUAAUCUACCUUGUUCAGAUCAACUUCGCAUAUAUUUGAUACUCGUUCUUGAUAACAAAGUCAAUAAUUUCACUAGGGCUAUUGAACAUUUUGCUUUUGACAAUAUCUACUUAAAAGCCCUGGCUCUUAUCUGAGAACCAAAGCCACACCUAUCUUAAUCUCAUGCUCAAUUAAGUAGUAAAUUAACAGAUUUUUUUGAGCAAAGUAAAUCAACAGAAUAAUAUUAUAUUAUGUAGUAUGCAUUUGUAUGCCUCUAUCCGACUUACUUGGUUGACAUGUUUGAUGCAUCUCAUUAUGGGUGCGUCAAACAAGAAGCUACCUUCUAGAAAUAACGUACCAUGCUCCGCCACCAACAACUACAGCAAUCUAUGGUUUAGAUGACCAAAUUGACCCAAAAAUUAAAGAACCAACUUUCAAAAUAAAGCCUUGUUUUCCUUGCAGUAGUUAAGAAAGGCUUCCAGCCACUUUCUUUCUCGCGGAAAAGGCUCUUCCUAUUUUAGCAAAAAAAAAAAAGGCUCUUCCUAUCACCUUUUUCUCCCUCGUAGUUCACACUACGAAGUGCCUCUGCAGUUGAACAGAGACGGCAAAAACAGGUCCCAAGAAAGAGGUGAGGCCUUGCGAAAGAAGCAGUCAAUAGUCAAUAAGCGCAACUAUAAAAGUCUAUCAUGCUUAGUUCAAGAGGAGAAAUAAAGAAACCAGCAACUGCAUGCUUUCCCAAGCAAAUGAUAGAAUUUAGAAAACUGAAGGGCCACUUUUAGGAAAAUUAAAAAGAUAGUAAAGCUCCAGCAUCUCUGGAUUUUUUUUUUUUUUUUGAUGCAAUCUGCAUCUCUGUUGUUAUGCUGAAGUCGGUAAAUCAAUUUCAGAUUAGAUAACAACACACGCAACAUUGUGAAUUUAUGGUGCCAUAUUAUCUGUCAAAGUUGUGCGUUAAUUUCAUUAUCUUAUACUGCACCUAAAAGUGUGGAAAAAGAAGACGCUGGAGGGGCGCGCACACACACACAUAUAUAUAUAUCAAGCAAGCAUUGUACCUGCGAAAUUUGUGAUGAUGAUUUCAUACUCUUCACCAACCUUGACUUCUGUGAGACCCACUGGCUCUGAUUCUGUAUAGUGGAUAGUUGGAGCACUUCUCUCCAACUCCUGCUCCCUUGGCUUCUCCCUGAGAGGAAUAAAUUCAAAAUAGCCAAUAUCAGGGAGAACAGCAAAGGUUGCAGAUUCAGGAGGCAGUCCAGGGUCGGCAUUAGCGCCUAUCCACCCUUCAGAAGAUCCAUAUUCAGCACUGAUCAAUGGUAGAUUUCCUGCAUAAUGUCUUAAUUUCUUCAAGUAAGGCUCCAUGGAUCCUGUCAUGAUCCCAUACACAUAUUUGGCAUUUGGCCAAAGCUCUGGAAUCACACCAUACCAGUUACUUAGACCCACGCAUUUCUCGUAUAUCGAAUCAGCCAGAUCAGGAUUGGGGCUUAAGAGUCCAGAAACUGAUUCACGGAUAGAUGGAACAGUAAUCCUGCUGGAGAGAACUCCCUCCCUGACGUCUGCACAAAGCUCUUCCCAGACCUGCUCGAAUGUACGGAAUGCAUGAACGAUGCUGUGGGCGAAGGUGGAAGAAAUGAACUGGACUUCAUCUGAGUAGAUUAGCCCGCAUAAAAGGUGGCAGUACAAGGACUGGUGGAAGUCGGGACCAAAUAUAACUGCAUCAGGGCUGCAACAUUGUGACUGGAUAUCGUUCAUGGUGGAUUUGAAUUGUUCACUGCGAUAUACAUUUGUAGUGGCCGUUGUAGCGAUGAGACCCCCUUUCGUUUUGAACUGUUUGCUGCUAUAGAUGAAUUGUAGAGCUUUUCCAUUCCGAAUGGGAAACUCUCUUCAAGAUUCAGAGCAUCUCAUUGUUAGUCGCACAACACCAUGAAGCUAAAUGAAGGUUAGCGUCACAAAUGCAAGGCCUUGGUUUGAGUAGAAUUGCUAGUUCCCAUAUCAGGAAAAAGCAAGGAAGGGAUCAGCCUCCCUAAUUUUACACAAUAUACAUGCAUCUGAAAUUUUGUUUGCGAGUUGUCCCAGGAGGAAUUCCAGGGUUCAAAUCCUGAGUAUUGCCCAUAAAAAUAUAUAUAUAUGUAUUGAAAAAUAGCAAGAGAAAGUGCUUCUCAGGAAUUGACUUGCAAUUUCAUUCUAAAACUCCGAGAAUGCAUGCUUGGCUUGGUUUGGUUACUGGAAAACUGAGGGAAUAAAAAAAAAAUCAAUAUUGAAUUUAAACUUGGGUUUCCUGUCCCUCGUUUUCACAGCAUUCAAAAAUCCAAUUAUACAGAAGAGAACAUAGAUCAAUAGCCAUUGGUAUACCAGAAAACUAGAGAAGAGUAACCGAAAGGACCACUGAAUGUGGACAUCCAAACUUAGUUUCAUCCAGGUAUAAAACAUGGGACUGGGAAGCAUGUUAAAGGUCUUGAUAAACUGAAAAGAAAUUGUUUUCAGCAUGGAAAGGAUAAAAGUGUCUAAACGUAAGUCGCAAAAACUAGGAUUAAUAAAGGCAUCUAGCAGAAAAAAAACCAACACAUAGGUGGGGCAAAAAAAGAAAAAAUCAUUUUGCAACAACAAUUACACAUAAAAUCAACAUGAUGCUUGCUUUCGAAGACAUGCCCAUGAAUGGAACUCUAAACUGAAGGAAUAUGAGAACUUCCAAUUACACAGUCGAGCCCUCAGUUUGGUAUCGAAAAUAGCAAGACCCAUGAUACUUCCAUAAUAAAACAGUUACAGGAAAUAAAUAGAAAUGGCAGCUGAAAAGAUAAAAUAUGUAUUUUGAAAGAACAUUGCAUUAGAAUAGCCGAUGUAAAUACCCUUAUAUCCUUAAGGACAGACAGAUGCUUCAUAACAAUGUAAUGAAUGAAGUAAACUACAACCCAUGUUCAAGAAGAUUAACUCGGUACCUGUUUCUGAAAGCAAAUGAUAACCGAUAUAUCUGCAUUGUGGAAUAGACCAAUUCCUCAUUGAACAGCAGAAGUUUGGGCUUUCCUUGUGUAGUGCCAGAACUAUAGUGAGGGAAAAUAGGGGGGUUAAAAAGACUAAGAAACAUUAGCAUGCCAAGCAUACAUCUUAUAGGGAGUAGGCCAAAGGAAGUAUCCAAAAGGUACCUCAAUGAUAUAGAUGUUACCGGCUUUCCUGUGAGAAUGGGUGAAGCAUCUCCAUCAGCAAUUCUCUGGAUGUAAGGUUCGAGAUCUUUGUGAGUAACCAAUGGAACACAGGCUUUAAAAGUCUCAGGAUCAGUUCUCCCUCCAAGACCCAGAUUUUGCAAGUACUCUGCCUCGCCAUUCUCCUCGAGAAUCCUUCGAAGGGUCUCUCUCUGAACCCUCCCAGCAUCCUUUGUCAAGGCUUCAAAUUCCUCAAUCACACCAUCAAUAUUGAAUUCCCUAUUCUUCUCCGGCAUCCUAAAGCUUAUGGAUUACCGUACCAGAAGUUACACCCAGCCGAAGCUAGACCUUUAAAAUCCUGUGAAGGAAAAGGGAAGACUUCAAUCGAUGAGCAUAGCCAAAUAUAAAAAUAACUGUAACUGACAUCACCAAUAAACUACCGGGUGGGUCACACCUCCCGCUUUCAUCAUCAAAAAAGAAAAAAACAAAACUGUAGUUGGCGUGAAGAUACUGACAAAGGCAUCAUAGAGGGAAAAAAAGAGGUGAUUUUCUAAGUUUUACAAGAAGCAUUUCAUCAAAAAUUUUUACAGGAAGCAUUAUAGUUAAAGAAAGUAAUGGGUCGGACAGAAAAAGGUAGAAACACCAUAAAAUAAGGCUGAAGUCAUCCUAAUCAAGUCAAAUAUGAAUAAAAUUCAAAAAUAAAAUGAAAAAAGCAGCAAGAGGUGUCUACUUAGAAAAUGAGAACAAAAUCGGAGAGAAAAGUAGAGCGUUGUAAGUCCUCACUGAGGAUCCAAGACCCAAAGAAAACUUUAUACUACAAAGAAGAAAAAUACGUCGUAGAUCUUUUGAAGUGUGAGCAAGUGGAUGGCAGAAUCGGAACAGACAGGAAGGGAGGAAAAGAAAACAGAAUUAUGGGUGCAAAUCUGCAAAAUUCUGCUACGAUACGAGAUUCCACCAAAAAUCAUCAAACAGAAACGGAGAGCUGCGAAUCGUUAAACAGAAACCACAUCGUCCCUCAAUGAGAGAACAAAUUCACUAGAAGAAAAUAUUGCUACCCAGAUCAACAGAGAAACAAAGCAUGCACUUUUUUGUUUUGAUGUAAAAAGGAUGUAAUCUUUGACACAGCAACCACGACGUCUUUUAAAGAAAGAAAGAAAGAAUCUACUCGUGAAAGAUGUAAUCUUUUACACAGCAACCACGACGUCUUUUAAAGAAAGAAAUAAAGAAUCUACUCGUGAAAGAUGUAAUCUUUUACACAGCAACCACGACGGCUUUUAAAGAAAGAAACAAAGAAUCUACUCGUGAAAAUAAUGAUAUGAUUCGAAAUCCUUGAAAAGAAAAACGAUGAGAAAAGUUUGUCUCUUGUGAAUGCUUAGUACGAAGCGAACAGGAAUCGAGCCGUCCGCUCCAUCUUGACUGCGAGCAAUCCGAGGCACCGAGAGGUGCGCUCCGUGAGCUGAGCUCUCUCAGGUCGUACUCGUAUUAUCCGGAUUGGAGUCGGGGAGGAGCAACAGGGACCUCUCGAUUCUAUGCCGGCUUCCUUCCAAAAGGAGUCGAAACAGAGAACAAGACAAGGAGCAGCAUCUACUGUUUGUUCGCGUGGGACUGGAACUCGGAACUCAACACACGCACGCAGAGAGAGAGCGAGCGAGCGAGCUUGCUUCUCCGAUUUGGUGAAGGAUUUCUGUGUUUUGGGGGAAGAUUUGAGGAGGGAAGCGCCAAUAUAUGGCCGCGGGACGGAGAUCCGUGACGGCCGUUAACCUUCAUCCGGAAAUGCCUCUGCUCAUUACUAGAAUUGCGAGAAUACCAUUGUUCAGUUGGGGGCAAUUGAGGUGUCGGGCGACGUGGACGUUUUUUUAAUCGCCGGUUGGAAAUCAUGGAUACCAGCCCCCGUUCGCGGUGGGAUAGUUACCGGAUAGCGUUAUCCCCACCAGGGAUAGCGUGAGCCGGAAUAUGCAGCUUUUCUUUCCGUUGGAGUUGGAUUCUCCUCUUCCGGCAAUAAAGACGCUGCACAUCCGAGUAGACUGACCCAGAUAUGGGGUGUUGUGGUUCAAAUUUGGCCCUGAGGGUGACCACGCCGGUGGAGCCGAGGGAGCCGCCGGUGCUGAAAAGGGAAAGAUGGAAGCCACCUCCUGCGCGACGGCCGCGAACUUGCACAAAGCCUCACCGAUGUUCUCGGUGAGGACCCUCCGACGGUUAAGUUAGAGUGGGUAAAUUUGGUCUAGCCAAAGAUUCCUUAGAAAUUACCUGACCGAGCUAUUUAUAGCCUCAGUGGAGUGGCCCAGGUGGCGGAGGUACUGUUAGCCCUCAUCAUGAGGGGACGUGGCUCUGAGCCGGACGGCGCGCAGCUCAGGCUGGCUGGUGGCGUGCGGUACAGCCCGUUCUUGAAAAUAGUAGGAUGUUGAUAGUCACAGCAGGGUAUGGCCGGAGUAGUCAAGGUACCGUCUGACUGCUGUUAAUCGGUUAUGGUGACAUGACACGGUAGUAUGGUGAAGUACGGCCAUGUAGGUGGGCGUAGGCCCGCACAUGGGUGUGGUCAUUGGCGAGGCCGAGCUCGUUAAGUAGUCGCGUCAUGCGUUUGACGAGGUCGGCUUGGCGCGUGCUAGGAUCGUAGCUCGACUUCCCGGAUUCCGAGAUGUGCUCGGUGGAGCGCCCCGAGCUCGAGAGUUGGAGCGUAUUGCUGGGGUUGGCGCCCUGAGCUUAGUCGGGGCGGGUCGGCAAUUGUCUGGAGGUACCCCAAAUUUGGUCGGGGGAGUCGGCGAAUGUCCGGAGUUGGUGGAAUUUUCGGCGGAGUUCCAAGGACGAGCUGGCCCUGGACCGAAAUGAAGAUUCAGCCGAUUGUCGUUGAUGUUUACCGGACCGAAACUGGACGGCCUUUUAGUUGUGGGCUGGACGAUCCAUUUUUCUUUCUAUCAUAGGGAUAUUGUAAUUUGUGAUUGGCCAUUGAUGAGAGAUGAAUGUAAUUAUAUUCUUAUUUAAUUUAUGCAAUAAUAAACAAUAAAUUAUCGAGAAUUAUUAAAUAAUAAAUUAUUUAAUAUUUGAGAGCUAGCUUUCUGUGGGAUUUAUACUCAGGUUACCUUAUCGAAUGGUUAGUUUCAAAUGAUUUGAAAAGGAGGUUAUGUUGGCCCUUUAGUUUCAGAUCAAACCACGCAAGGGAAUGAAUAGUUUCGAUAGCACGAGGGAAUAGGAGUUUCUGUUUGGCUAAGAUAAAAUAUGCCAUUUGACGGAGUUGUGUAAAGGCUGCAAUGAUUGGGAUCUACCCAAUUUUCUCCAAGAAAAGUUUAACAUCGAACUUGCCAAUUAUGAUACGUAUGAGGCUAGACAUGUGAAUAAGGAUACUAGUUUGCAGGAUAUCUAUAUAGGUUUGGGUGUUGUUUUUUUUUCGUUAUAAUCCCAGCUUUAUUUUUCCAACUAUUAAGGAGUUAGAUAGAAAGCGACUAUAUUUAAUGCUGGGUGUGAUGAUUACAAAAGAAGGUUGUGGGUGCUAGUCAGCAUUAACGUCUUUCCACAGCUACUAAAUGAUCAGACUCUCACUCAAACAAGGAUUAGUUGUCUAUGGAGGGAAAAAAAAAAGGUUUUUUUAAGAAAAAAGAACUCCGACGAACAAAUGUCGAAUGUAUUUUCUGAAAACAGAGAAAUUUAUACAUGAAUUUUAUUUUUCAGACAAGCAUUUCUAAACAUUUGCGAAGAGUCCUCUCUAGGGAUUCUUAGUGGAGGAAGGGAAACAAAGUAGUAGGAGUCAAUGGAAGUUGACGUACACUUCUCUCAUUUUUUAGAUUUUCAAGAUAUAGCGUACUUGAAAGGAAGUCUUUAGAGUUUUGAUAAUGUAGGAUUUAUGGACUUCAUAAGCACUUUAAUUUUAUGGAGGUGUCGGAUUUGUGAUUAGAAAUUUUUUUGGCACACUGGUAGCAGCUGACAGUCGUCGUACGCCAGAAUUUACCGUUAUUAGGGUAGAGCUCCGGGCAGCGUGGGAAGGCUUAUCUUAUACGAGGCAGGUACUUGGUGCUGAGCGGAUGCAUCUGGAGGGAGAUUCAUCAGUGGUGAUCAACUGGAUACGGGAAGCAAACAGGUAUGACGAUGGUCAUCCUCUCAUCCGCGAGAUCCAUAGACUGGCUCGGGAGAUGGACGAUUUUCAGAUAGCAUGUAACAAACCAGGACCUCACCCAAAAUGGCUAGCCGGAAGGUAUUAUUUGGGUUCCUUGAUCCUGUAGAAGUACCUAAGAUCUAUCCAGCGAAUAACCNNNNNNNNNNNNNNNNNNNNNNNNNNNNNNNNNNNNNNNNNNNNNNNNNNNNNNNNNNNNNNNNNNNNNNNNNNNNNNNNNNNNNNNNNNNNNNNNNNNNNNNNNNNNNNNNNNNNNNNNNNNNNNNNNNNNNNNNNNNNNNNNNNNNNNNNNNNNNNNNNNNNNNNNNNNNNNNNNNNNCCCAAUGGAUCUGUGCUGCAGUGUCCCCUAGUCCACAUAAGUUAUGGGCCGGGUCUGCCCUGAUACCAUUUGUAACAACCCAGGACCUCAUCCAAAAUGGCUAGCCGAAAGGUAUUAUUUGAGUUUCUUGAUCCUGUAUAAGUAUCCAAGAUCUAUCCAGCGAAUAACCAAUGUGGGGGUAAACACACGUCCGCACGGAUCCUCACAUAGUACAUAUGUUUAGAGAGGCGAACCGGCCUGCAGACUGGGUCGCCUUCUUUAUUGCCCGGCAUGCUGGGGAGGUCCUUUGGACUUUAGCAGUAGACGCUCAUCUCUUCUCUAUGUUCUUUACUUUCUCGUAAUUUGGCAGGAUGUACUCACAUUAGAGCUUUAUAAAUUGCCGUCUUCACCACAAAAAAAAAACAAAAAGGGUGAUGGCAGACCUUAUUAUCUCCCCCUCCCUCCUACCCCCCCCCCCCCCCUUCUCUCACACAGGCAACAUUAAAGGUAUUUUCAAUAUUUUGCAAAAACAAUGAAAGUAUUAUUAAUGUCAAACAUUUGAAAGCACCUUCUUUCAUUCAAACAUGCAGGUGGUGGAAUUGCAUACAUAUAUAUAUAAGCUAAUCGGCAGUCCAGGCAUGUCUUAGAUUUGAUAUGAUGUGCAGUGUUCUAAGUAUCAUGUUGAAAUAUUUAACAGUAGUGCUAAAGUGAAAUAUAGACUUUAGCUGCAAUCUUCGCAAUAGGAAUAAAAAAAAAUACUUUUACUAUUGGAAUAUUGCAAUGGUUACAAAAAUUUUUAAAAAAUUCAUAUUGGUAUUUUGAUGGAUAAACACCCAUUCUAACUUUUGGUAUCGAUACAAAAAAAACUAUAGACUAUAGUCUUCAUGCACCUUGUUGAAAGCAACUUUAUUUGUCGUGCAUCUAUUUUUUUGAUAAAUAUUUGUCAUGCAGCUAAUUAGUUUGAAUGUUACAGGCCUUGUUUUUGAAUACAUAUUUGUCAUGUAGAUAACAAGUUUGAAUUUUACGAGGCCAAUGUAGCAACAGUCUUAGUUGGCGUUUAUCACAAGCUGUAAUAUUAGUGGAAGUGAGGUCGUGAUGAAUGGAGCCAAGGGCCAAAGCUCUUUGAAUUGCAUCACUUUAGAGGCCAUGUUUCACAUUUGUUUGUAUCGAUCAUACUCCGCUGGAUACGGCUAAUAAUCCCAGCCCGUCAUCAAAUACCGAUACUCUUUCAUUUUAUUUUUAUUAGAUAGAAUAAUAGAUUCUUUGGACCGUACAAUCAUUUUUAUGAGAAAUUUUGAAGGAAUAAAUAAAAUUUUAAAAUAUUAUUUUAUUCAAAGGGAAGUACAAGUGAAAGUGGUAGCCGUUAUCUAUCCUAUCCUAGCAGGCGUAAUUUUUUUCAAUACAAUGUUCAAAAUAUUCAUUUUUAUGAAAAAUAAAAAAAAUCUUUUCUUCAUUGUUAUUUCCAAUUGUAGAGAGAAACAGUGAUAGUUGCUCCCACUAUUCUUUUAAAUCCAUCGAUACAAUUUUUAGAGGCUUUGAGAUUUUGAGAUAGAGCUGAAAUCAGAUUGGAUAUGGAUUGGAUACUACCAUGUCCAUAUAUAUUUUACUUGAAUAUAAAUACAGGUGAGGAUGUUAGUCGGAUGCAAAAAUUUAUUUCUAUAUUAUUUUAAAUAGAUACGGAUACAAAUCGAAUACUAAAAGUAUGAAUAUAAAUCAGAUAAUUAAACUUUAUGACAAUAGAAUCAAUGAUAUUACUAAGUGGAUGAUAAAUUAAGUUAAUAGUAUGUUAAUAUGGUUAUUUAUAUUUUAAAAAAAAUUUAUAAAUUUUAUAUAAAAUUAAAUAAAGUUACAAAUAAAAUCGGAUAUUCGGAUACGAAUCAAAUAGUUGUCUAUCCAUAUCCAUAUCCAUUUUUUUUUUACAUAUAUGGUUACAGAUAUGAAUAUUAGUUGGAUACUUAAAUUUCUAUUGAUAUUCGAAUAGACUCGGAUGCAAAAGUGGAUUCGAACGAAUAUUAUUCUAUCCACUUUCGCCCUUAGUUUGAGACAAAUAAUGACUAUUGAAAUUGUUAGAGGGUAAUAUCUUUUGAAGCUAGUAAGUUUUGCUGGUGUUGAUAUUGCGAUGAUCCGUGCGGCUAAGUACUUAUGCAAGACUAAGAAAUUCAAAAAAAUAUCUUUCGGGUAGUCAAUUUGGGCGAAGUCCUGAGUUGUUACAAAUGGUAUCAAAGCAAAUUCGGUCCAUGGCCUUUGUGGACUAGAGGAUGCUGUAGCAUGUGCUCGUUAGGGUUAACCAUAGGCUAACUAUGGUGCUUGUAAUUAAAUUUGAAUAGAUUUAGAUCUUUAGCCUUGCGAUGACAUCAGGGCUUAAACAGGAAAGUAUAGGAGGAUCCAUGCGGUUGUAUAUUUAGUCCUACAUCGGCUAUACACUAAGUAGAUCUUGGGUAUUUAUACAGAAUCGAGAAUUCCAAAAAAUACCUUUCAACUAGCUAUUUUGGACAAGAUCCUGAAUUGUUGCAGAUAUAAAAGAUCUCAUAUCUAAUCUUAUCUUUACUACAUUUAAAUUUUCUCUAUUUUUUGAAAAACCAAAAAUUGCUUUAUAGUUAUUGUAAUAGUAAUCCGAUUGCAUGUGAUUAUACCGUCCCUGGGCAAUGCAAAAAAAAAAAAUCCACCGAAUAGGACUAUUUAAUUAGUUAUUAAUUUGCGAAAAUAGGCUAUGUUAUUUAUAAAUAGUGGGUACCUACACUUGGAGGCAUCGAUUGAAGUGACAGCCCCAUGCACCAUGCUUGUGAGGAGUGCUGUUCAUGCUGUUUUCUGUUCUAGGUUGAUCUGAGAAAUCCCAUCCCUUGUGAUGGUGGAAACGCUAGCUCGCUCUAGAAAAAAGGAGCCCGUUAGCUUGGUGUAAAUGGGAUUUAAACUAGAGGAAUUGGGCAGCAGCAGAGGCCAACGACUUGGCGCACAAACCAUGCAAGUUUUUUAAUUACUUACGAUCCAUGCAUGUAUAAUUAUGAAAGGUUAUUAUGUGCAAGUGAAACCUUCCUAAGUAUGCUCAAACAUUGCAAUGAUUGCAAUUUUAUGAAUUUAAGAUCAAACAUCUGUAGCACAGUGUCUUGUGUCCCAAAGCAUAUCUAUGAGAGGAGCAAGCAGCGGAGUUCAAUGAAAUCGCAGAAGAAGUUGAAAUGCCCUGUGAAGUAAUGUGGGCUCCAUGUUUCCCGUCGGUUACCACAAAAGAAAAGUGGAGCCGGCUGACUCGUACCAAGUGGAAAGCCGUCGUUUAAUGAAUAAAGGUUACUUUAAGAGUAAGAGGUUAAUCGAUCUCCUCUAACAAUUCACCUCGGCAUCUCGAUGUCAGGCUCUUUGCCACCUAGAACUAUAGUAUGUUCCAAAAGUUGAAUUGUUUGCUCAUUAAAAUGGUAUGUGAGCUGAUUUAAAAUGUCGUGAGACGGGUCGGUCUAUAUCCAGUAUGGGUGUUAGAGCAUUGAGAGAAUCUUUCUCUAGUACGAGAGGAUUGAAAAGGACGCACCUCUUAUGCGCCUGUUAUUGUGCCCAUAGUAAAUAUUGGGUAGCUAAGUACGAAGCGGAUAACAACUAAGUAUGUUGUGCGAAACACUUUUAGAUUAUGUAAUAUUUAAAUUAUAUUAAUAACAAAACAUCAAUGCUAUGCUAAUAGGAAGUUUUUAAUAUUUAAAUUAGAUGCAACAAUUGGAAUUCAGCAUGUAUGUGUGUUUUUUUUGAGUUUUUUUUUUUUUGCAGUAUGCCCUUCAAAAUAUACAAAAUUAUAUAAAUACCCUCAUAAAAUUAUUAUUUGCACAUAUAUCUUCAUAAAAUACUUAUUUUGCAUAUAUACUCUUCUUUUUCUUUUUCUUUUUAUGUAUGUACCCAUGCCAUCUCACAUCGUUAAAAAUAAACGAUUUAAAUUUAAAAUGCCUGAAAUAUCUUUACCGGUAGAUGCACAAAAAACAAACUUUAUAAGGAUGUGCAUGCAAAUAGUAACUUUGCAAAAAUAUUUUUAACGCAUAUUUAGGAGGCUAUAUACCUAAAAAAAUUCAAUAAAAAUGAUUAAAAUUCAAAAAUGAUAAUUUAGUUAUUCUUAAUAAAAAAGAUGGCCAAAAAAGAUUAGCAUUAUUAUGUCACGUGAUCUCAUGUUAAUUCAACUCUUAUAGAAUGAAUUAUGUUACUUUUACAAAAUUUUUGCCUCAAAAAUAACAACUCAACAUUUAUAAAUCACUAAAAAAAUAUUUUACUAAUCUAAGCAUCUAUAAUUAAUUUAAAUUUGAUAUGAUUUAAUCUUUUAAAAAUAAUGAAGAAUAUAUAAAUGCUAUAGAUUUAAUAAUGAUAAUUAUAUCAAAAUCAAAUGAAAAAUAGCAUUGCCAAAAUAAUUACCUAAUAUUCUAACUUGACCGAGUCAUGAUCUUUAAAAAAAAAAUGACAAUGUGACUCAAUCUUUUUUUGACUUGUAGAUCCAAUUGAAUCAUAAGAAACUUAGCAAAUUUCUCCAAUUUUUGGUUUUUUUAAUAAAUUUUUUGAAUAUAUACCCUUCUAAAUUUAAAAAAUUACAUUAAUGUCCCCAUACAGUUGCUAUUUGCAUCCAUUGUAAAGUUGUUAUUUGCAUGUAUACUUUUAUAACUUUUUUUGCAUAUCUACCUAUAAGGAUAUUUCCAUUAUUUUAGUUUAUAUGCAUAUAGUAAUUUUAUGAAGAUAUUCAUAUAAUUUUAUAUAUUUAAAAGGUUAUACAUGCAAAAAAAAAAAAAAAAGAAAAUUAAGUCAAUUCAAGAUUUUAGCCAUGAAUUCUGCUGCUUCUCAAGUGUGCUUGAUACUAAUGUUUUUCCACCAAAUCAAAGACAAGAUAAAGACAACUUUAAAUUACAGUCAUUUGUAAGGAAUACGGAGCGCAGGAGCAUGGUCAGAGCUCGUUUGGAAUUUUCCCACUUCCCAGGCGAGCAGGGCCAGCACAUUGAGACAUCAACGCCACGGAAUCGUAUCCAUCGGCCUUUUCACUGACGACUUUCGACGUUUAUCCGCUUGAAACUGGACCCUCUCAGACUUGGCAUUCGCCAUCUUCUGCCCUGUCCUUGGUCUCAUACUAUUUAUCAGCAAAUCUCUUCCUCUUUCUCGGUCACCAUGCAGUGGAUGUCUCUGGCAUCUCGGUUUGUGCCCAAAAUCUCCGUCGUAAUAAAUUGAUUCUGAGAAUUGGUCGAUGUAAUAUUAAAGUAUUCUAAUGAUUAAGUAUUAUAACUGACAUUUUAGGAAUAAUAAAUAAUUAUAAUCAUAUUAUACAUCAUAAUUUUCCCCCUUUUUUUUGAUUCCCAUAUAUUGAUUGAGAUCCCAAAAUAUUUUUCCCCAUAUUUUCAGAACUUCACAUCUCAGUCAAGCGAUCUCAUUUAGUUUUUUCCCAUAUGUUACAUGUAGCUCGUUUUUUUUGAUAGGCCUUCCUGCCGACAACUCCAACAUACAUUGUCCAAUAGAAAUGGCGUUACAUUGUCCACAUCUUUCGAAGUGUGAGCGUCCAUUAAGAUUAAAAACUAAUCAUAAUUAAAGACUGCCCAUCAUUGGAAAUUAAAACUAUACCAUCCAUCUUGAGAUAGCCUUGUGAACCUAUGUUGGGAUUGGAUCCAAUCCACCACACCCCCUAUGAAUUGCAUUCCCAUGCACAUAUAUAUGAAUGUGACUCACAAAAUCCCUUAAUUGUUCUCCCUAGCGGUUAAGGGAGGUUUAUAAGUUUCUAGGAACUCGACAACUAAAACAACCCUCUAGUAUGAGUCUUCCCCUAGGCCUCUUUUAGUAGGAUUUAGCAGUAAUUGAUCCUCAAUGCUCUUCACUCUAUAGUUAUGUCGGAUAGCCGACACUGAUACAGGGGAUCAAACUGAUUCGCCAAAUCUCCAUCAACUUAGUAAGAAUUCAUGCAAAUCUCUAUGAUUAUAAAGGAUCAAAAUGAUUUUCCAAAUCUUAUUAAACUUGGAAAUGAUUCUUCAAAUUUUCACAAGAAGUCAAACAAAUCUUCUAUGAUUUCGUGACUAUUAUAGCAACAUAAGAGAUUCUUUCCUCUUAUAUCGAAAAGAUUUUUCUAUUAUUUCUUAUUUAAAUUUUAAAUAUAAUAUUUUUUGUAAUUUUGAUGAUAUAUAGAGCCAUAUACUGUUAUUAUAAAUAUACUGACAUACAUACUCAAUUCUUACAUUGAGAUUGAGUCACCAAAAGUCUAUUAUCUUUCACUUUUGUCUAUGCCCACCCUCCAUGCAUGUAUAUUUAUCAAGAAAAAAAACAUUCUCUAGGAUGCAAUGAUAGUCCAAUAGAGGAGCCAUUCCGCUCUUUUUUUUCCCCUUUUAGUACAAGAUGAGCUAUUCUACUUGGGAUCCUACUCAUAGACCGAGGAACCAUGGCUAUGCUCGAUGGCUGCCCAUUCCUCAGCACUGUCAUAUAUGACACGUAAGGGUACCUUAUUUGAUGACCAUCCAUCUCCUAAUAGUAUCCAUCGAGCACUGCAUCGCGUGCUAACCGCACACAACAGUGGAUCUAUUCUUCUACUCAUAUUGCUUUUAUUUAAAAAAAAAAUUCUAUAUAGAAAUUAAGGAUCCAAAUGCCUAGUGAGUCAAAGCCUUGCUAGCAUGGUAGCCAGAUCCGCAAAAUCCGUCCAAAUUGCUAGCAGAAAGGCUUUGGCUUUAUAUAAUGUCAUCACGAGGGAUCAGGAGUCAACAUAUUUUACCCUAAUUUGUAAAAAAUUAUAAACUAAGGUUGCUGCUUGGUUAAUUAAUAGUUUGCAAGGUGGAUGUAGGCUUGGUCAACCACAUGAAUUUGAGUGAUAGGGACCUCAUGGCGGCUAGGACAUGAAAUUCUAUAGAUAUCAUGAAGAUUAAAUACUUAACACCAGCAAAAAAAUAUUGCUUCAUGCUAUGGAUGUGAGCCGCCCUUCUUGAAGAUUCAAUUAAAAACCUAACAACUCGCUCAUAUAGUCAUAUGGAAAAAAUACAAAAAAAAGGAACCAUAGGAAUGUAUAUAUAGGUCAUAUCCCAUUAAGCCAUGUGCCAUCAACCGUGAUUGUCAUUUUGGGAGACCUAAAGAAUACUAGUAAUAAGUUGAGGGACUGAAAAUUACUGAUAAUAAAUUUGAAAGCAUCCCUUUAACAUGCAAUAACAUAUGAACCUAGUUACCAUACUUUUUGGAGGUUUUGAGCUUGCAUUUUGAAUUGUAUGUUUCUGAGGACUGAAAUCUAGAUAAUUAAAGCAUGAAUGAGUCAUCUUCUCUUCCUCUCAAAAAAAAUUAUUUCAUAAGAUCUUGAAAAGCUAUAAGAAGCGGAUUCUUUAACAAAACCAAUUAUCGAUAGUUAAUUCUCUGCUACUACUUCGUAGCUUUUAAAUUGUCACGCAUUGCUUGCUAUUUUCCUUUCUCAUGUUCUGCAGUUGCCACCACCUUCCUCUUAUGUUUUGUAAUUGCCACCACUUUAAUUCUGUCUAAAAUAAAUAACCUAGUUUUUCUAUAACUAGAACUCUUUGAAAAGCUUUAGUUAGUAAAGUAAUUAACAAGUUACGACGGAUUUCAUAAUUGAAAUCCUUCACAACCGUGGCCGCUAGUGCUAAGUUGGCAUGCCAUGAUAUGUUGGGAUUUUUUAGAUGGGAGGUGAGCAUAAAUUUAUAUCGCCAUCCAUUUGAGGACCUAUUGAUUUUAAGAGAAGAGUGAUUCAGUAAUCAUACCGUCUAGGUGGAUGGUGCUCCCUAGUUAUUUUAACAACAUGAAGAAGGGAAACAAAACCUCACUUGAGUAUAUGAAAACUAAUCAUGCAAUAGCUUUAUUUGCAAACGAUCUAUAACCUUUCUUCUAGUGCAGUCGAAAAUCCUACCGACCAGCCCUUUUUGAUAGACAGAUGUGAUUGAAUGCCACAUCCAUAUGGCAAAAAAUUCCUUUCACUCCAUAUAAUUUUUCUUAAGAAGAAUUGCAUCAAGAAAUUCUUGCGCUCUUUCCGCAUAUUGAUUAAAAAAAAAUACUGUAGCAGUAUAGAAAUCUCACAUGAAAAUGUCAUACAUAUAGUACGAAACUGUUCAAUGGAACCCAUAGUUACUGUGUUAAAUUUUGACUGCAACUGACGUACCAAUGAAAGAGUUAGAUAUCCACCGUAUGAUUUUUGAUAUGCUGCCAUACAUGCAUGCACGCAUCUUGAUAUGUUCAUCUCCCGACCACCUUUGGCCUUUGCAGAGGGCAAGACGCCAGGGAGUGCACGUAAGCGUGGAAUGCUCCAUAUGCAUGCAUCUUAUCAACGUCUUCGCAGUUGCUGGUCUUGUCGGAGGCAGUCGAAUAUUAAAUUGCUGGGAUUGGAAUGGCAAUUGGAUAUAGAUGACAAGGAAGCACAGCGGCCAUUGUUGAGAGGCAUGGCCCCCCAGGCCUCGGUACCUUCGCCAAAGCCUAUCAAAAUCUGACGACCAUACAUUAAACUAAAAUCUCAUGCAAUGCAAUUCACGCGGCAGAAUAGAGUGACAAAAAUGUAGUUGUUUUCAGUUCACAUGGUUUGCAAGAAUAAAGACCUACAAGAUCUAUAUUUUUCUGAAUUUAUUCAAAAAGGCGUCCAUAUAUGGAUCAUGAGGUUGAAGGAUGGGUCCAAUGCUCCUCGAAUCAUUUGGUCGUCUAACGCGGCAUUUGAUCAUUUGUUUUCUCGCAAAAUACUCAGGAUAAAGGGCACACAUGUAGAUCGUAGAUUUGUCAUCAUCGGUUCAAUCACUUAUAUCAUGCUUGUUAAAGCAUCACUCAUGGUUCAUAGAAUGUUGAAUGAUUAAAGAAUUUAGCAUGCAUCAAGUCUGUCCUGUUUUCGUUAGGUCAAACACCCCGUUGAUGACAGAUUUCAUGCAUCCAUAGAUAUGACGACAAGGGCCGCGCGCGCGUUGUUCCAUCGGUUUCACUUUUGAGAUGGAAUCUGGCCAAAUUCCACAGCCUACUUCAGUAGGAGAUGGACCAUUCAUCCCUGGCUAGCCUCAUGGUGGUCCUACAGAGAUGGGUUAAAAAAGGCAAAUAGGACGCCCUUCGUUGAUGAGAUCUGCCUUGGUAUGAUGAAAGGAAAUCACGACAGUUUCUGCCAAUCUUCCGCCAUCUUCCACUGCCUUUUGAGUUUGCCUAAUGAGAGUACCUAUAGCUUGUUACAUGAGCUUAAUAUUUUUUGAGAACCCAUGUGGAUGAAUAUUUAGUUCCACAUCAACUAUGUACUAAUUAACAUCUUCUAGCUAGUAUGUAUGAGUAAAGUUCUAAAUUGUUACAAAUAGUAUUAAAGUGGAUCCAUUCCCUAACCUAUAUAGAUUAGAAGAUAUUGCAACACAGGCAUAUUUAAACUGGUCAAAAUUAAUUGUAGUAUUUGAAUAUAUUUGGAUUCUUAACUGGGUGAAGAUGGCAGAUCUUAAAUAGAAGGAGCAUUUAAGGAUCUGUGCAAGUGAAUGUUUAGUCCUACAUCGAUUAUGUACUGAUUAGAUUUAUUGGUGAAGUUUUAGAUUAUUACAAAUGUUUGUUAAUUAGCUAUGUGAUUAUUUGCGGCAUGUUAAUAGUCAAAUUUAACUCUAUUUGUGAAAUCUUUGUUCGCCGCAUACAUUUGUUUUCUUCGUACCACGGCCCAUGCAAUCUCUCUUUUUCUUUUUUUCUUUUUUUUUGGUAUAUAAAAGAAGGAAGAGGGAAACUAAUCCCACCCGCGUAGCAGCCCUCACUGAGCCCCUUUCCACCAGAAAAUGUUCCAUGUGAGUAGAAAGUUUCUCAUAGACCCGUGGGUUGUUCAAUAUGUGAGUAAGUCAUCCAGCACCACCUCAGUAUUCAGAGGACUAGUAGUGCUUCCAACGGACAAGCCAGAUGGAAGGCAUCCAAUUCUCAUAUUUAGUCGUCGUCCAUGCGUUUGGCAUAUGGAAAAAAAAAAGUCUCAUUCUACCAUCUCGUAGUGUGCAAUCUCUCUUUCACAUGCGCAGACAACCACCGUUGCAGCCUUGAGUACAACAACUGUUAUUAUUAAUGCAAAACAGCUAUUGUGACCUUUCGAGGUACCCUGAGGACAUGCACAUAAUCUAUUAUUUGUCUUUGUUUGAACCAUCACGUCUGUCUUUUCUUACGAGGAGCCACUUCUUUCAUUUCUGUGGGAAGAUGGCGGUUCUUGCGGUUGUCUUUUUGAAUCUUUUGAUAAGAGUGCUGCUGCAAUGCAGAUAUCUUCUUCAUUACGGUUUAUAGGUCUGGCCUUAAUGCUGGUAGUUUAGGUCAAGACAGUCUAAUAAAAAAAAGAUAGAUCUUGAUCGAAAUAAGCUAUGGUCAAUCAUUGGUUAUCACCCACCUACCCCCGUCCCCGCAAAACAAGAAGCGAAAAAAAGGCAGGGGGUCACCCUAGUAUCAGUGAUUAGGUGACAAUAUUUGUAAGGUUCUAUAUAAUUUAUAUGAUCAUAUUUUUUAAGCAAAUUUAGACUUGCUUACCUAGUUAAGAGAUUGUCAGUUUUGUUAUUCUUCUUUACUUCAUGCCAAGAAGGUAUUGGAAGAACAAUCUAGAACAGUUAUUUUCUGGAUUAAAGUCAACAAAUUGUUUAUGGAUGGAUACACAUCCAUUACUGUUGGACAUUUGGAGAUUAAUAGUAUGUAGCUAAAUAUAUUUUAAGAGAGGUUAAUAGGAUAGUUGAUUGGAUGGCAUUCUUUAGUGCUGAUUUUAAGAGGUCAUCGGUUUUGUUUUUCCUCUUUCUUUUAUGUGAGGAAGGUAUAAAAAAUAAAAAUAUAUUUAAAAUAUUUUUGAAAACUAGAAUAGAAGAAAUCUUGGCCGAAACCACGAUGGACGCAAGAUUCAGCAUCAACCCUAAAAGGCUUCACCAAUUACACUAGCUGGCAUCCCCAAUAUAUAUCUAAAAUAUUGUAUCAUUCAUAUGAGAUGCUCUGGCGUAAAUUCUUUGCACUGCAUAAAUUUUUCAUAAAAUUGAGACUAUGGAUGUACAGAGUUACAUCAUCUUUAUGCAAGGUUUCUAACUUGGCACACAUAAAAUCUAGGUCUGACGGUGAAAAGUCACUGAUUUCAUACACUAAACAUUAGUUGUAAUAGAAGUGAUUAGUGGCCAUGAAACCUCCAAGACUAAUAAGUGAAAGGAGUCAUGCAUAUAAUUCAUGUGCAAUGGUGCUAUUGCCAUGGAGAUCAAUUUUAUUUUUCUUAUAUGUUCGUCCAUUUGUCCUCAUCCCCUUGAUUCAGAAUUAAGAAUUAUGUUUUGUAUCUUUUCUAGGCAACUUCAACAUCCUCAUGCAUAUCACAGUUGCUUACACCCUAAAUGCAUAGUGACUGAUUUAGGUUAAUGAUUGAAACCAUGCAUCAUGUUUCACGUCCCAAUACAUAUGUUGGCUAAUGGUAGAAUGAGUAUAUAGUUUCCAAUCAUUGGUAAACGCAUUUUACUCUCCAAAUAUUGAAAUGCAUCGACAUUGUGAUCACUUGAUGUAUAGUUUAAAAUAGUCUUUAAAACAUGUAAAAAUUUAUUUGUUGAAAUUUUUAUGAUAUAAUAUACAGAUGUGUGAUCAUGAAACAAAUGUUUUACCAUGCAUUUUGGCAUUCAAAGUUGGAAAAAAUAAUCAUGCCUUGAGAAGCUACAACCAUCCAUUAAUCUGUCGAUAGCAUUUUUUUUUCUUUUUCUUUUUUGCUUUUUCUGAGAGCAGGGAGGGGUAGCAUNNNNNNNNNNNNNNNNNNNNNNNNNNNNNNNNNNNNNNNNNNNNNNNNNNNNNNNNNNNNNNNNNNNNNNNNNNNNNNNNNNNNNNNNNNNNNNNNNNNNNNNNNNNNNNNNNNNNNNNNNNNNNNNNNNNNNNNNNNNNNNNNNNNNNNNNNNNNNNNNNNNNNNNNNNNNNNNNNNNNNNNNNNNNNNNNNNNNNNNNNNNNNNNNNNNNNNNNNNNNNNNNNNNNNNNNNNNNNNNNNNNNNNNNNNNNNNNNNNNNNNNNNNNNNNNNNNNNNNNNNNNNNNNNNNNNNNNNNNNNNNNNNNNNNNNNNNNNNNNNNNNNNNNNNNNNNNNNNNNNNNNNNNNNNNNNNNNNNNNNNNNNNNNNNNNNNNNNNNNNNNNNNNNNNNNNNNNNNNNNNNNNNNNNNNNNNNNNNNNNNNNNNNNNNNNNNNNNNNNNNNNNNNNNNNNNNNNNNNNNNNNNNNNNNNNNNNNNNNNNNNNNNNNNNNNNNNNNNNNNNNNNNNNNNNNNNNNNNNNNNNNNNNNNNNNNNNNNNNNNNNNNNNNNNNNNNNNNNNNNNNNNNNNNNNNNNNNNNNNNNNNNNNNNNNNNNNNNNNNNNNNNNNNNNNNNNNNNNNNNNNNNNNNNNNNNNNNNNNNNNNNNNNNNNNNNNNNNNNNNNNNNNNNNNNNNNNNNNNNNNNNNNNNNNNNNNNNNNNNNNNNNNNNNNNNNNNNNNNNNNNNNNNNNNNNNNNNNNNNNNNNNNNNNNNNNNNNNNNNNNNNNNNNNNNNNNNNNNNNNNNNNNNNNNNNNNNNNNNNNNNNNNNNNNNNNNNNNNNNNNNNNNNNNNNNNNNNNNNNNNNNNNNNNNNNNNNNNNNNNNNNNNNNNNNNNNNNNNNNNNNNNNNNNNNNNNNNNNNNNNNNNNNNNNNNNNNNNNNNNNNNNNNNNNNNNNNNNNNNNNNNNNNNNNNNNNNNNNNNNNNNNNNNNNNNNNNNNNNNNNNNNNNNNNNNNNNNNNNNNNNNNNNNNNNNNNNNNNNNNNNNNNNNNNNNNNNNCAUUAUUGAGCCGUUCAAAGAAACCCAUUAUUGAGCCGUUCAUUGCUCGUGCCUUGUGUUGAACUUUAGAAUGUCCAAGUUAAAACUUGGUUCCAUCCUUUUCUUCCCGGAGAAAGGGAGGGAUCUACCCACAUUAUCCAAUUAUCGAAGUCCAAAGAGGAAGCACUGUUUAAAACAAGAACCCAAAUCUCAGGCCCAAAGAGUAUGACCAUUAAAGCAAUCUCCAAUUCACGGAUUAAAUGUUAUAAUCCAAAUUGGGCUGAACUUAGCAAGGCAUGCACUAAAUGUUAUAAUAAAAAAAUCAGUUUUAUAAAUUUUCACUGAAAUCUCUCAUAAAUAUGUUCAGAUAAGUAUGAUGCACUAUUAUAUAAACUGAAUUACAUAAAUUGAGGAGACUUAGCCUGGAACAAGUCAUGCUUAAUUGGUGGAACACACGAGCGCCAGAGGAACUAGAGCGUUAACCUUUGAUAAGUUACACACGAUUAGAGCAAGAGAUACAUCAUGUUCAUAAACAAAGGAUCCAUGAAAAAAAUAGCAAACACACAAGUCGCAUGCAUACAAGUCAAUGAGAGAAUAUCUUCGAUUUCCAUUACCACUUCACUACAAAGCCUCAGAUAUUUUCUUUAUUUUUUGAUAAAAUAAUAUUUAAGUGAACUUGACCCCGUCAAUCUCAUUCAGCUCAACUUGUUGGCAUUUCUCUUUCAAGUUUCAAUGGGAGGGGUAGCAGCACACCCACCGUAUUUCUCACAAAGACGUCAUUAUAGCUUGCACAACAAAAAUCAGAACCCGGCAACAAGAAAAGGUUGAUCUUCACCACUUAAUUUAUAAAAUGAAGUGGUUAUGCUCCGCAACUGCGUUUUCAAUGCCCAAAGAGAUCAGCAGAAAGUAAUCUAUUAUAUCACGCCUGUCCUGAGAGCUCCCGUGAAAUAAAAGAAACCCUUCUCUCGCAAAACACUUCAAAGACAUCCAUCAGCACGACUUCUUUCCCUUCGAAACAAAUAUUAUCACCAUCAUCUAUUCACAUAAAGUAUAUAAGGCAUCUUGAUGACGUUACUGGUUAUUCCAAGUGACUGGAAAGCAUCAAGGGAAGCUUCGUUCGUUUGUCAUGGUUGCCAAACAAGAGAACUUCUUAAUAAGGAUCGCCUAAUCUAUUAGGAAAUCAUGCUCAACCAUUCCGAAAAUUUCAGUUCAAGGACUGGAACCGAUGGGGGGAGAGAGCCACCAACACCAACAAUCAGACCAGCCUACGGCUAUAAUGGACACCACCAACAACGCCGUUACAAGCAUCCGUCAACUUGAUGACAAAAAAAAGAGAGAUUAGACAGGUGCAGAUUGAAAAUCACCAGAUAAUCAAUCACGAAAAUAGUAAAUAAAUAGAAAAGGACAAUGCACUGCAUACCUUCAUAGUCAAUUCAGAGACUGCAAAUGAUGGCAGAGAAAAUGGAUGGCUAGGGAUAUAUGCUUACCAACCCUGAACAUUUAAAAAAGGAUGUAAGUGUCACAGAAAGUUGAGAGAUGAAUUGAAGAAAAGAACAUUGCUGGACACGAAUCAAUCCAUUAUCUUUGCAUACAAGUUUCUGAUCUCACUAUACAUUGGUAAAGAAAGACACCGAACAGCUACGCUAUCAUCUCAAUCCAAAGUAAAAAAAUGAUUUGACACAUAUCAACCCAUUAUAUAUGCAUUACAUUCAAUCCUCAUCAGAAUCCACUUUCUGCUUUUUCCAUUUGUAUGCAGCUUCCAAUAUUUUCAGAUUUGGAGCUAUUGCCACUUCAUCAGGGAAUAUGUAGUCAAUAUAUUCCUCAAAACUGCAUAAAAUUCAACUAAUGUCAGCUCAAUCUUCUUAUGGAGGAAAAACGGAAAAGAUACAAGCCAAAAUUUCACAAGCAAUUAUGAAUCAAAAGUAAUUUAAAAACAGAAGACAAUAAGCAUACCCUGCAGGAGUCCCAUCUUCAGUAGAUAUGGCCCUCUUCCUCUUUACCUUCCUGGGUAACUUCUUUUGGACUGAACUGACAUCCCCAAGAUUUCCAAAACUACUCUCAAAAUUCAACCACUCCUCCAAGAGCAUCCCCCUUUCCUCCUUUAACUCAGGGGCAGCCGUUCUGAAGUAGUCGAAUGCCCUCUCAAAAACACCUGGUAGAAGGGAGAAAGUUGAAGUUAUCUCCAUCUUAGAAUUACAAACAAAGCAAACUUUAAUUUCAUUUUUCAUCUAAUGUACCUCGGCAUCGUUGGAUGCACUCCAAUUGCUGCUCAUGACGAGAGAUAUCAUCACUGCUUUCCUGAGCCUCCCCAUCCACCUCUUCGUCUUCCAUACCAGCUGAAGCCUCAAACUUGGCAUAACUAAUCCAUACCUUCAAGUGCUUUGUUCGAUCAAGUAACCUCUCAUAGAGUUGCCUUGUUCUCUCGUAUUCACCCUCUGAUAUCUCGAAGUCAAUGUAAGCCUGCAAUGCAAGGUGAGAAACAGAUGAUGCUGCAUCAAGCUAUGGAUGGCAGUAUUGGCAAUACAGAUAUAUCAUAUCCUCACUUGAGAUAGAUUUCCAUAUUCACUUGAUUAUGUAAUUAACUACAGAAACCCAUUGAAUGCAUGGUUGACAAGGCUUGUACAUCACUAAAGCAGAGCUCAAGUUUCAACUCCAUAGAAAAAACAAAGUUGGAUGAUAUUAUUUGCAUGAUGCAUUAAAGAACCCAAUAAUGGAAUGAAUAGAGAUUUUACAUGCAAUCAAUAAUUCACUGAGGCUGACGCUGAAAAUAAAUAACAGAGAAAUCAAAGUAAGAAAACUAAACGAGACACGAUCUAAAAAGGACCAGUACCUAGUAGGUUGUGCUUGUCCAACAUUGUUAUAUGCAAAGUUAUUAAGGAUUUUUCGCCUGUGUCUCUUCGUCCGGCAAUGAUGCACCACCAUUGAGGCCUUUGUGCCUUUAACCAAAUGUAACAAGUGAAGAGAUUCUCUACAUUUGUUAGGUUAGGUCGAGGCAGACACCAAGUCACCAGGUGGUGUCAUUCAACCCUCUCAAAGACCAAAAGCCACCUAUAUCGAAUGAUACUAUGCCUUUGGAGUUGUGGUUAGGUAAAAGUUACCCUAUCAACCUCUAUCUCCAAGGUGAUCUCCUCUUCUUUAUUAGGGAAUACUUAAAAUCUAAGGAGCUUAGACUUCCACCAAACAUAUGUUAGGAAUACAUACUACUAUUACUAUUACUAGAAAAUGAUCUAGAAAAAGAUAAAGGGAAAAUAGAAGACUCUAACAAUCUCUUUUUUUCCCAGAAAUUAUAAGAUGAACUUCAGAUCAUAUAAUUUAGAAAUUUAAACUCUGCAAUCAUUGUAAUUUUUUUCUGAUACACUGAACUUAUCAACACCUUCUUAUCAUAUAUUAUAUUAGACAAAGCCACAAUUCAUAAGCACAAAAGAAAGCUCCAAGUCCUUAUGGCUAAUUUUGGGUCAUUGGGAGGCUGGACAGUGAUGAGAAGUAGAACAUACACCCAAAAAAAUGAAAAAGGUUUCCUUCGUCACAAGAUAUUUGACACUCAAGAAUUAGAACACAGUUACUUAUAAGAAUGCUAAAGAUGAAUAACAAACCAGAGAUAUAUAUAUAGAAACAAAGUGGGCCCACAUAGGUACAGGAAUCGCGAACAAAGGAUAUUAUUGAACCAAGAGGUUAUACUAUGAGACAGUAAUGACCUUAUAUAAAUUGGCAAGUAUAUCGGAACGAAAAUAUUGGUUCAUCUAAUUUUUUAUAUCUGAUUUAGAUCAUUUUUAACACUCAAGCACCCAAUUUCUUUUGGAAGAUCAAACACAA
Molecule: long non-coding RNA, 58295 nt
Filed under: Phoenix dactylifera (date palm)
Lineage: Eukaryota; Viridiplantae; Streptophyta; Magnoliopsida; Arecales; Arecaceae
Description: long non-coding RNA (PDAC_LNC000022)
Rfam family: Archaeal large subunit ribosomal RNA (bases 45078-45473)
Source: RNAcentral